Molecule: long non-coding RNA, 70795 nt
Filed under: Erythranthe guttata (spotted monkey flower)
Lineage: Eukaryota; Viridiplantae; Streptophyta; Magnoliopsida; Lamiales; Phrymaceae
Description: long non-coding RNA (EGUT_LNC000579)
Source: RNAcentral
AAAAAAAAAAAAACCAUAGUUAAAUGAGUUUUAUCCGAAGAAAAACAAAGUAAGAAAAUGGAAGGGCAACAACAGCUGAGGAGAGAAGAUUAUCAAGAAAAAGAAGAGAGAGAAACAAAAAUGCAGCAGUUGCCAUUGGAGAGCAGCCCAUAUUUGAAGCACACCGAUUUGGGGGAAUAUAAUCUUAUGGGUCACGGUGCCGUCGAGUGGCAGCUCAGCCCAAAGGGUGGCGGCGCCACCACCAUCUUCACCUCCGUCGACGGAAAUCGAUUUUCUCCUAAACAGGCUGAUGCCGUCGAUAGAAAAUUGAAGUGAUCAUUGAAAGAAAGAAAAAAAAAUGUUGUAUUUACUUGUUGCUAAUUAGGAUUUAUAUUUAUGCGUUUUAGAUUUUCCUUUUUCUUUUUUCGUGUUUUUUUAUUUUUCUAUGUCGGAUCGGACACGUUGUAUGAAAAAUAAGCCCGAAAUCGUCGGUUGUUGACGUAUACUUUCGUCGAUUGUAGAUGUCCAUUGGUAUUUGAAUUCGUUGUCGUACAGUAACUCGUAAACUAUAUGAGAGAGGUAAAUUGCAUUGGUCAAGCAUUAUGCAACGAGUUAUUGAACUCGGUUUUUUUUUUUUUUUCUUGUGCCAGUAAUCUUAAUAUAUUCUAUAUAUUAUGUUAAUUCAAGCUCCCAGAAAUCUAUUUAAAAUUUUCUUAAUUAAUGUGCAUCCAGCUUAAACGACACUUAAAAAUAAAUGGAGGAAGUAACUUUUUCAGAACUUAGUUACUUAGUAAAGCAUUUUUCUUUGAUUUUAUUUAUCGAUAUCAAAGAUCGAAUUUCCUCUUCGAUUUCAGGCAUAUAUAUAUAUAUAUAUAUACUUGAUAAUUAUGUUUAAAUAAGGUCUCUAAUUUAUUCGAACUUCAUGGCAAUACAAUACGAAAAAGUGUUGGCCGAUGUUUUUAGCAACGAUAAACACAAUUACAAGUAUCACUCAAAGUACAGUAUGCUCGUAAGACAACGCUUCCAUCUAGCGCCUUUUGGCAUAGUUUUUGGCAAAGGCUUAUACUACACAAUUCUUUUGAACUUCGCAGAAAAAUUUCUUCGGAACAACGGUUUUUCUCUGUGUUCUCGCCUGCGGAAAGAGAAAAUCGUUGGCAUUUAUAUGCAUUACAAGAAACAAAUAGACAUUUAUUUAUAUAAAAAAAAAUCUAAUUUGUCGAUGUAAAAAAAAAAAUUCACCUCUACAAAGUAGAACAAGAAAUAGAAGAACGACGAGACGAAGCGAGCUUUUCAUGAUUCUGAAGCUUUUCUCCUUGAUUCUCGAAGAGGGUAUAGGUUUGUGUAGAAUAUGUGGAGAUGAUUGAAUUUAUAAGUAAAAAGAACAAUUCAUAUAACAUUAAUUCAAAAAUAUUUGUUAAAUCAAUAAGUAAUUGUAAGUUUCAUACAAUUAUAGAUUUUCCAUAUACUAUUAAAUUUAUAAGGAAAGAUGUAAUUAUGUUACUUAUAUAUCUGAUUUCCUCUUUAAUUUUCAUUACUGGCUGAAAUUAAUGGAGUUAAAUUAGAAGAAAGAAAAAAAUCAAUAAGACUUUGUAAUUAGAUAACGAGAAAUCUGAUGUGAUUCCACAAUUUAUAAGCCUAAUUAUAUAAAAUGAAAAAGACCUCACAUAAUUAAUUGAGAAAGUCGUCUUUCAAUAGGGUUUCUUUUCGAAAUUGAGUCGUCAUUAGGGUUAUUUCUAUGCUACAUCCGGUGAAGGUUACGCUGGCAGGAUUUUUACCGUUGAUCUACACACAUCAAUGUGAAUGUGUGUGUUUGUGUGUGUUCGUUAGAGCGUUAAGUUAUAGAGUAAACUGCAAAAACUACCUCUGUGUGAUAUGCAUAAUUGGGCCAACCCAAUGAUCAGCACGUCUGACUUGAGCGUCGGAGGGGUUUCCGCCGGAUCAACCCCGGCUUAGUUCAUGUGUUCUAUGAUCGCAGGUACCUCAGGAUCAUCAAGUUGUCAAGCUACUGAUCUGCUUUGCUCUCCCAGUUCAUUUUCUACACCACCCAAGGUGAGCUAUAUUUUAGCAUCAUCUAAUCUCGAAAUAGCAAAAACCCCCCUGUGAUAAAUAAACUAGCAAAAACCUCCCCUGUGAAAUUAUUUAAAUAGCAAAAACCCCCCUAUGGAACUAUUUGAGGGUUGACUUGAUAUAAAAAGACACAAAUACCCCUGGAGUCUUGCAAUUAAUAAAUUUUUAUAUUUUAUAAAUAUUUUAAUUAUUUUAUUUAAAAAAUAAUCAAUUUAUUUGUUUACUAUUUUUUUUAAUUUCUAAACAAAUAAAUUAAAAAGAAUAAAUAUACAUAUAAUAUGUAUAUAUAUAUAUAUAAAUACAUUUUGAGCGACAAUUUUGUCAUUUCAAGUCUCAAAAAUCAGUUAGGGGGGAUUCUGCCUUUGACUAAAUUUCACAAGGGGGUUUUUGCUAGUUUAUUUAUCACAGGGGGGUUUUUGCUAUUUCGAGAUAACACAGAGGUAGUAUUUGCAGUUUACUCUUAAGUUAUAUAUAGAGAGCUUAGUUGCACGGUUAGUUUAGUUAUAGAGCUUAAUAAAAGAUUAAUUUAACAAAAUUAGAUUUAGACUGAAUUAAGGAGGUUACAUUUAUGUCUUUGAAGUACAUUGUCAAAAUUCUAGCUAGCUACGAUUUCAAAAAAAAGCAUACGUUUCAUCUGUGAAAAUUACGUGAAAAUAAAAAACGAGCUAGCUAAGUAAUGACAAAAUACGUGCGCACGCAAGCAAGCUGAUCGAUUAUGUACAUAUUCCCCACACACGAAACGGAACUAGUGAUCGUAUUUAGCAACGACGCCUUCAAAAAUACCGUCGGAUCUGAAGGUGGGAGAAAACAACCUAGGAUCAACGGGGCCCGGCAAGCUGAACAAGAGUGUGAAUGGUCCAGGUGGACAUUGCUGCUGCAUUUUCAUUACAAAUACUCGAGAGUAUUUCGACACCGUAUUGCCACCUGUCGUUGUCACACCUUGGAUAUACACCUUCCCCUCCCUUCGUAUUUCACAGCUGAAUUCACCUGAUUAAAAACGAAAAAAAAAAAAUUUAAUUUGUGAAUAUAAUUUGGAGCAAUAUUUCGGAUGCACUAAAUUAUAAGUCGCAUACAUAAUGCACAUUCGAAAGCUUUGAGCAUCCGAAAGUAGGGUUAAUUGCAUCCAGCACCCCUGUGUAUACUCUAAUUGCUAAAUAACUCCCCGUGCUAUAAAUACUAGCAAAAUCCCCCCAAAACGAUUCAAUUUUAUUAGCAAACUAACCCCUAAAAAAGCAUCAUUUAGGGGGUUGUGUGCUAAAACAAAUGCAUCCUAGGGCAGUUUUGCUAAUAUCUAUAACACGAGGAGUCUUUUAGCAAGUCGAUUCAACAGAUGGGUGCUGAAUGCAAUAAACUCUCCGUAACUAUCUCAAGUUUCUUCAUUUCGACAGUUCUAAAAAAAAUAUAUAAAUAUAUCUCGUCUCAUUUAAGUAACACAUACACGAUAAAUAAGGAAGCGAAUAAAUUUUAAAAACAUAGGGUAUUUAAAUUACCGGGAUCUUUCUUGACUCCAGGUAGAGCAAUGCAAAAAUAAUACGCGUUUUUGCUAACGCCAAUAUCGACAACUCCUACGGGGGGCCCGGUUACUCCUCUACACGCAGUCCCACCGAAGCAAAUAGAUUUCUUCAAACACCACUCGUCCAUUUUCGGCAUGGGUAGCAUGGGCAUCACGUACGACUGCGCGAGGUUGCAUGCUAUCGGAGGUGUGGACACCUGUAGAGAAUCAUCGCAACGAGCCCUUUUCUCACCUGCCGCCGCCUCGUGAUUCGCAUUUUCGACUUGCGUUUUGCUUCUUUUCCAUGUGAUUUUCUUUACCUUUGCUGGAUCUAAGCUAUCCAUCGUCCCUGAUUAAUGCUCGAUUUUUUGCCAACUGCGAUGUAAUAAAUUAAGUCGACUUAGAGAUAACAUCGGAAAUUAAUUAAGAUGGGGCAAUUUUCUUUACGACUUCGUAUAGAAUUUUCGAACUCGGUCACCGUAAUAUCGGAAUCGUAACUACAAAACUGCUUAAUUAGUUAUUCAUGAUUGCAAUCAUGGAUGAGUAAAAUGCAUUUGCUAGACAUCUAGAACUGCUACAAAAUAAAGCGACGAGUCGGAAUCUUUUAAACUCGAGCUAAUCAACUCAUUCGCUCGGCUGCGAUUAUCAUUUAAUCUUUACCGUAAAGAAGUAAUUUUUAUAUUUUAUUUUUUAUUUUCUUAAAAUCCCAAAUUCAACCAACUUGAACUGGCUACACUCUGAGCCACAUUAUAGCUACAACAAAUUUAACUAUCUAAACAUUGAAAACCGAAACCGAAACCAAAAACCCGAAAACCCAAAAACCGAAAUAAAUAGUUCCAAAUUAAAAUUCUAACACACAUGGGCGUUCAAGAAACGGCACCACCUCAACCAGAACAAAAAAUAAAAUCAGCUUCGAUCAGAAAUUAAUAACAACCAAACGGGCUAACCAAUAUUAAUCCACACAAAAGCUAAUUAAAAAUAAAAUUAAAAAGAAGGGGGGUUUUAAAAAUUGAAGUAAAGAAAUAAAAUUUAACAAAAAAAAAAUACUGAUUUGGGUGAAGAUAAUUAGGUUGAAGAGAGAGAGUUCUUACCGAAUUAGCGUAUUGGUUGAUUCUUCGGGAGAGAGAGGUAAACAAGAAGACCUGUGUUUUAAGGCAUGUAAUAGAAACGACACUUGUAUUGUAUUGCUCUUCUUUCUAUUUUCUUUUUUUUCUUUUCUUUUUUUUUUCUUUUUCCAAUUACUAUUAAAUAAAUAUAAUUUGGGGCUCACUUACAAAGUUUUAUCUAUUUCUUUUCUUUUGCUAUAAAUGAUAAUUUCAACUAGGGGUGGAAAUCGAACGGGUGGUAUAGGAAUUAGUGUUUCCGAAAAAAGAGAUUCCAUUUUUUUUUCAGAAGUGAAAAGCAGUUCCAAUUUUGUUCCCUAAAAAUUAAAAUCGAAAUUUCGGAAAUUGAAAUUUAAAAGCUUGUUCCAAAAUCGGAAAUUUUCAAAUCAUAAUCGACCAAAUUCGAAAAAUUCCUAUUUUUAGUAACCUAAAGUGCAAAAUACACAAUAAUUUUGAUAUUAUUAGUAUAUUUUCAAAAAAAAAAAUCAAAAUUUUGAAAUUAAUUUCAUAAAUUGAAAUUGGAUCGAAAUUAGAAAAAACCGGAAAAUCAAAAUUGGAAUUUUCAAAAUUUUAAAACUUCACUACCAAUUUUCAUGCAAAAGUUCAUUGCCAACAUUUACAAGUUUAGCGUCAUAUUUUGUUGAAAUGCACGCACGGAUACAUAUACGUAUACGAUUAGAAAUUACGAUGCGAAUUUAUAAUAAAUAAAGAUGAAGCAAAAAUAAAUAGGUUAAAGAGAAGAAAUAAAUCAAAAAGAACUAACCACCAACUUUAUACAAACAAACAAACCGCAACAGCCGCAGUAGAAACGAAAAAAAAAAAAAGAUCGGUUAACGAAGAACCUAACUCGACUACGGUGGCACGAAAAUGCAGCCAUUGGGUCUUUCCCUUUUUCCUCCGAAAAAAAAUUAUAAUUUAAUAAUAAUAAUAAUAUUACAUAGCAACUAGUACCUUUUUUUUCUUUUUAUAGGAAGAAACUAUUUAUUUAUUUCCAAGGCAUGGAUGACAUGGCUUGUGGGGUUAUUUCGUUAAAAGGAUGACCACCCGUCAUAUUUAACGGGCUUAACGGGCCCCCAUCGGAUGACUCACUCUGCGUUCCUCGUGAAAAAGAGCUGCUGCCGCCACCCCCAUCACCACCGCCACUGCCACCAGUGUUCACUCUCGCCGGAACUGAUGAUGCCCCCUUCUUCCUCCCCCCUUCUUUGUGCCCGUCUGGCAGAAAGCUUCCUACUAUUACCUGCAAUUAUUACAUCGGAAAAAUGAAAAUUCUAACACGGAUUUAUCAAUAAAUAGUAUUGCACGCGUUUUAAUGAUAUUUUAUCGGACAAGCUAACCUGGGUUGGGGUAGCUGCGAUAAGUAAACCAGCGACAGAACCACCUAAGACACUGCCAUCUGGACCAGCUAACGAGACACUUAAGCCACCUGUCCUUCUUUUCUGGCCGCCAACUUGAGAUAGCAUGAACGAGCCAGAAAGCGAUAAUAUAUCAAACCGGCCCUACAUAUCACAAUGUAUAUAAUUGUAAUCAAGUUAAUUUCAAGAGCAACUCGAUUCAUUCAUUAUUCCAUAUUAUAAGAUUCCUUAUAAUCCAUCGCAUUGCAAAUGAAACGUGGCCUAAAUUCAUAAACGUGCAAAUAAAAUUUAAGAACUUGCCGAUAAUAGAGUCCAAUUUCAUGAACAAACAUCUGAUAUCAAGAGAUACGUGGUAAUCCACAUCACAUAUUCAGACAAUCGGAUUAUACAUAAAUUUAUUACGGGUGCAAGACAAUAGAUUAGCUACCAAACCAACUCCAAGAAAGUUGAAAUCUUUUAUAGCCCAUUAUUAUAUCUUUGGUUAUCAGAUAGAUUUUAAAUUUGGAAAAUCCAAAACAAAUAGAGAUUAGAUUUAUCCUUAAAUGAAGCAAAGAAAGCGAAAAAGGAAUAUAUAUAUAUAUAUAUAAAAUACACCCACAUACCUCAUAAGUAACGGUUCCGCCAGAUGUUGCAGCCUGGCUGAGUGUCACAGUCGAUAUGGUACCGUUGGCAGAUAGGAUACACACAGCCCUUGGUCCGUUCUGAAAAACAGCCAUUAUUUUCGAAGAGACAUCCUGCAAAAUUAAUUUAGCUAAAAUUACAAAUCACUGAAUUUAUCAUAUUCCACUCCUUUUUCAUGUAGUAGUCGAGAAGGACCAAAAAAUUGAUAGAACCCCACUUUCCGGUUUUCGGAGAAAGUGGAGAAACAGUGUAGCACAAGCUCCAAUCUCAAUGUUAUAUUCAUAUAAAAUGUUGUACGAUUCAAUGUGAUACAUCAGCGUUGAAAUAAAUGAUAACAGAUACCUACCUACUAAAGGUGCAAUAUUCGUGAAAUCUCUCAAACGAAAAAGGGUACAUUAUAUUUGUCAAUUAGCUAAUAAAGACUCUGAUAACCUAAAAUUCAAGGGGAAAAAAACGAGGGCCUGCAGAUAAUGAAUUAAUAGACCAGAAACACAGAUAAUAAAGAUUAUAAGGAAAAAAUUAUAGCAAUCAAUUUACCAAAUAGGAUAGAACCAAUUAAUAUGGUCGAAGGUAUUUAGGCUUAGUUAGAUGUACCACGUGACAGCCGUGAUAAACAACGUCAUAAAACAGGAAAGACGAUAAGAUUUGUUAUUAACAUGUAGAUGAUAUGACAUUUUAUUCACACGGACAGCAAAAAUCAUUGAAUAUUUUAUCCUGUCGAUUAUAUUUAGUAUAAGCAGAAUCAUGUAAGCAAUGCUGUCUCUCGUAGCUCACUUGCUCAAGUGAAGUCCGAGCAAGAGACCACGGUCAACAUGCCAGGUCAACAACAUACCAUACAGUUGGUUUAAGAGCUGGUUAAGGGUCGUAAAUGUUGAAAUUCAUGAGCCAGCAAAUUUGACAUAAACAGAAUUUUUUUUAACCAGAUAUUUCGGCGGUCACAAAAGCCAUCAUAAUUUUAAUUUCAUUUCAACCCCUUUUAUGUACUUUUUGUUCCCUUCAAUUUGUGAAAUUUAAGUUUCUUUCAUUAACAAUAUCUUUAUCAAAAUAAAUUAAAUUUAAAACAUAUUUGCAAAUUAAAGUUCAAGACUUUUUAAGUUCUUAAAUCCAUUAUUGUCAAAAUUUCAGCAUUUGUAAUCUUAUUUAAAAUUAAUUUUAAUCAAUUUAAGUUAUAAAAAUAAAUUCCAGAUCGAUCGUAUUACCGGAACAGAUUGUUAACAGGACAAACUAAUCAGCAGUGACCACCAUUUCGAAGAACUGGCCCCUUAACCACCUAAAUCAGUUAGAGUUAAAGAACAACAUUUUAUAAACUAAGUCGUAAAGAUUCGUUCCUAGUUCCGAUUUAUCUUUCAUGUUUAAGUAACAUAAAGGGAUAACAGAUAUUCCUAAUCGUAACCAAAAUAACGAACCAAGUUCCAUCGACAGUUGACUUAACAUAAAAGAACAAGAUUUAAAAAUAUUGACCUCUCCUGCAUUCACAUUGAGAACGUACGGUAUGAAUCCGAUACCAGUUGAACCUGCAAUCAAACCAUUUUUAAUCAUAGCAAUAAUUAGAAUAUUGAUAAAUUAAAAAAAAAAUAGUGUUUACUUAAUAGCAAUGAUGCAAUUAGAAAACAAAUAAAUAAGGAGUUGUCCAAAUUUAGACACAAAGGUUCCACCAUACAUACAUAUAUAGUAUCCCUCUGCCAAUGUACAGAUAAGACUUUAUAAAAUAGUAUUUCAUAUAAACCAUGAAAUCAACACCUAUUUUUAGUUCAUUUCCAAUAUUAAUAAAAUAAAAAUAAAUAAAUAUAUAAAUAAAUCAAACCAGAAUCAGACAGACCAGUUAAUAUGAAUAAUAUAAAAUAAAAAAGCAAUCUUUUUUUAAUUGACAAAAGAUCGCUUACUGUACCUAAAGCUUCCUUUUGCUGCUUUUUAUUUCUCGAGCCACGAGGUCUGCCUCUGACCUUCUUACCACUCGGUGAGCCAGAUCCAUCCGCCGCCGCCGCCGCCUGAGAGGGUAGAUGAGGCGGCGCCGCCGUCUGAGAGAAACCCUGUGGCUGCUGCUGUUGAGGCGAAGAAGCCAUGGAGAAGGCGAUGUUGCCAUCUGGUGCGUACUUCCUCGGCCGCCCUCUCCUCCGCUUCUGCUCACUCGAGUUUCCAACGUGGUUCACCACCAUGCCGCCGGAGGGGAUGGAUUGGUACGGCGGCGGCGAAGAGCCCAUUUGCAUGAACCCGCAGGCGCCGUCGCCGGCGUAGGGCAUGCGCAUUUGAUGUUCCAUCUGAGUUUGUGAAGCCGCGGCGGUUACGUUGAACGGCUCACGGUUUGCCAUCGCCGCCGCCGCCGCCGUCGUUUCAGAUGCACCAGACAUUUUGCAAUACCGAAAUUACCCUCGAGGGUUUUCGGAAAUUACCUGGGCACCAUGAGAAAACAAAAAGGAAAAUAAAUUAUUCGCAGAUCUUCACCAGUAUCUAAAGAAGUAGCUUCUCAAUUUCAUUUCUGAAAAAACAAAACCCCAGAAUUUCAAAUUUCGAAAAAAAAUAAAAAUUGAUUUUAUUUAUUUAUUUAAUUAAUUAAAAGUUCAAUUCAGUAACGGGAAAAUUGAAAAAUCUAUAAUUAGCAACACGAAAAUGAAUAAAUAAAAAAUAAUAAUUAUAAUACAGUGAAGUGGAGAGCAGUAAAAAAAACAACAGCAUUUCAUUCUCGCACUACAAAAUUCAGAGAAUUCUCUGUAUUUUUACCGAGGGAUCGAGCGUAAAACAUCAAAAUAAUUCUGGAAAAUUCACCAAUUUAAUUUUUAAUUACAAAAUUGAGGCGCUAAUUAAAAAAAUAGAAUAAAAAAAUUAAAGAGAGAGAAAAUCACGAAAAAUAGAGAAAAAUCACGAAAAAUAGAGAAAAAUCAGAAAUAACUCACCAAUAAAUUGGGAAAAUUAUCUGUACAGAAGAGCGAAUUGAGAAGGUAGAGAAGGUGGGGAAGAAAAAGGAAAAGUGGUAGGGAUUGUAAAUUAGAGAAAAAAAAAAGUAGGGUUUUUGCGGAGAAAUGUUUUUUUUUUUUUAAUGUAUAUAUGAGAAAAUAUAUAUGUAAUAUAUGUAUAUAUUAUUAUAUAUAUAGCCUUUAUUAUUUCUGUUUUGUUUUUUUAGGUUUCACGAAAAAGAAAAGAAAAAAUAAAUAAACGUGGAAGCCGUUUCCAGACGCGCGUUGUGACGACGCGUCGUUUUCUUAGUUGAUGUUUUUCACCUAUAACGUGAAUCUGUUGUUGAGAUUCUAGAGAGUGGAAGCAAUUUCCUACACGCGCGUGUGGGUGUUCAGAGUGGUAUUUAUCUGGUUGAAUCAUAAUACUUAUAAUAAAUAAAUAUUGGGCCAAAUUUGUGGAAUUUCAUUUUGUUUCAAAAUAUUAAAAAAAAUAAAAAAGAAAACGUUACUUUUGGAAAAACAAAAUCAAAUAAUCCAGCCCAAUGAAAUUAUAUUAUUUAGGUCAAUUACUCUCAUCCUUUAGGUAAGGUUAAAUUACGAAAAACUCCAUCGUGUAUGGGUAAUUACAAUAUUCAUCAAUUAUGAAUAUUCUUACACGUUCACCCUUCUGUUGUCAAAUUCAUUAUAAUCUUUUACAUUUCGUGAAAUGUUCUCUAUUUGUACUCGUUUUGUACAUAAAUGCAGUUUCUGAUGCACCACAAUCUGAUAUUUACGAGCAAGAAAACACAUAUUAUAAGAGAUUUUUGCAAGAAUCGCCCCGUGUAAUCUCUAAUUAUUGAGAAACCCCAUUGUGUUAAAAAUAUUACCAAAAAUACCCCUAUAAAAAUUAGUCAAAGCCAAUAAGGCCGCUACGAGCUGAUGUGUGUUGCACCCGCGCGCGACUUGGGGUAUGUUUUUUGACCUAAAAGACUAAAAAACCCUUUAAAACAUAAAUUUAUAAAAUUAUAAAUUCACCCCAUAAUUUUUGUAAGACCCAAAAUAAAAGUUUCAUAAUUUUCUUUUAUAUUUAAUAUAAAAAAAUGAUUAUUUAGUUUAUUUAACUUAAAAUAUUUUUUAAAAAAAUAGUAGGGGUAAUUUUGUCAUUUCAUUUAAAUAAAAAAAUCAAUUUUGAUGUGACAAAAUGUGUGCUUGUAAAACGUAACAUAGAGGGCUUAUUGCUAAUUUUUUUUAACGUAGGGAAUUUUUCUACAAUUAGAGAUACGCAGGGGGAGUAUGUGCUAAUAACUCCAAUUUUUUUAAUCAUCUUGUUUUAAAAUGUAGAGCUAGAAUGCGGUAAAACAGAUACGAACCGGAUAAUAUUCCACUAAAUUUGACAUCGUAAAGGUGAACGGGUAAGAAAGAUUCGUAAUUAAAGGAUAGUUGUAAUUACACAAACAUGAAAGAUUUUUUCAUAAUUUAACCUUACCUCUUCUGAUUAUUUCAUAAUUUGACAUUACCUCUCGACAUGGUCGUAAUCUAUAGUUUAUUAUUUGGUGAUUCGGUAAAAACUAAUUAUUUCGGCCCGUUAGAAGGUCCAAUAAAGGCCCAAUAAGGGGAAGCUCGCGAGAGCCCACUCCAGGGCGAGAGAAGAAGAAGUUCGCGGUCGCCGAAAUGAAAGGAUGGGAACAAGGAAUAUUAUCUGACAAAAGGAGCAGUAUCGCCGACUUGCAUUUAAUGCGUGUCUACUCAAAUGUCAGUAACCACAGAGAAUAUACAGACUGGAUUUGAUAAAUCAUGCUCUGGGUCUAGUUAGGAAGCCUAAUCGAAAACCGGCCGCGGGCGCGAGAGGGGAGACCCUUCUAGUAACAAGAGGACAAAGGCGAGAGUUGUAAGAUAUGUGUAAGAUAUGAUCUAUAACGUAUCCGAUAUAAUUAUCUUGCAUUUAAUAUCCCAUCCCAAAUGUCAAAAGCGUUCAGAGAAUAUGCAGUCUAGGGAAUAAGCAGCUCACAACACUGUUCACCGAGAAGACAGGUAAGUUUAAUUUAAUAUAUCUAAAAAAGUCUGAAACACCUCUGAAGUGACAACUAAAAUGGAUUUGGAAUCCGUAUUUGAAGUCCGCUCUUAGAAUUUUUCUAUAAAUAGCAAGAGAUCAACUCACUUAUGCACAGAUUCUUCUUCAUAAAAAAAGAACCAGAGAAAACAUUUAAUUAUCCUUUUUCCUAAAUCGAGGCCAUUCUGACUUGAUCGUCGGAGUGCUAACUCCGGCAUCAGCCCGGCUUUUCUUUUUGUGUUCUUAUUUGCAGGAUACAGAAAAUCCAUCAGCAUAUACGGAUCUAAAAGGGCCACCAAUAUAUUCGGACGAAUCAAUUUGGUAUAUUUUGCCAAUAAAUCAAUAAAUUUGGAGUUAAUCCAAUUCGAUUAUUUCCUAUUUAAUAAUUAAUGAGCUUUUAUUUUCUUUUCAUUUAUGGAUGCAAUACACCAAUGCUAAUGAUUUUAUGCCGUGACAAAUUCUGCAUCUUCCCUACUUUUUUUUUUAACUUAUAACAUAAUUUUAAUAUUUAAAACAAAUAUAGUAAAUUCUCUGAAAUCAUAUAACAUGAAGCUCGAGUUCAAAAACUACAACAGUUCAAAAUGAAGAAAACAAAGCUAAUAGCACAAAUUGUUGAUACAAUUUCAUGUUUUACUUAGUACCCUCAACUUCAUUAGACUUCCACAUAGCUUUUCAAAAUUUCCGAAGAAUCGCAUCUCCGAGUUUAUCACAAGAAAAACCUCCUUCGGCUGGUAUCCAUUUCAGGCUGUGACAUUCAAAAGACCGCGACGAAUAAAGUAUAAGCCACUUGAUCGAGAAAAAGUAAUAAUACUUUGAGCAAAUUAAUGAAUUUUAGUAGAGAUAAAAAAAAUAUAUAUAUUACCUUGUGUACCCAUUCAUAUUCACCUCCUUGUGUGUCGAAUGUUCCAUUCUGAAGACUUGUUAGCUUCAGGGUGAAGCGGGGUCCACAUUCCUGCAAUGUUGAUAUUCACAUAAUUGCCAUCGUUUAGUUUGUGCAACCGAGUUUCGACCAAGAUUUCAUAAUGAAUACGUAAGAAAAAGGCAAGAGAAGCAAUAACUAUGUCGAAGGUGGGGCCAGGGGAUUAGUAUUACAAACCUGAAGCCGGGCAACAACUUUCCCCGGACGAGCAGCCUUGUUUUCUUUUUUGUCUUUACCUUCCGGCGUUUUGCUUUCUUUUGUUUCGAAAAUGUAACUUUUACAUGCAAUAAUAAUAAGGAAAAAAAUUAAGAUAUUUAGAUCAUAAGUUACGAAACUACAGAGCAAGAUAUACACACCGGUGAUGGCGGAAAAAUACAAAAUCGCGUUGAUUGUGGAAGGUAACAACUCUCCGGCCAUUGAAAUGAGGGUCUUGCGGAAAAAGAGACUGGAUUAGCCUAAUUUAGACACACAAAAAAAAAAAAGAAAAAAAAAAACAAUGUCAACUUUUAUUCGAAACAUUGGAAUAUAGAGAAACGAAACAGCAACAAGAGACGCAUGAACCAAUGUUAUAGAUACAAAACUGAAACGUGUACCAUAUUGCAAGAGGAUUGAAAAUCAUACUAGAAUUAGAACUUCAAAUCAGGCCAGCUUACCGAACCUUAGUAAUUUUUUUAUUUAUCGAAGAUUCAUCAUCCCACAGCCAAGAAAGAAAAUAAUAUCGCAGAAAACGUUUGAAAAAAGCUACAAGAAAAGGAAACUAAUGUACUGAAUAAGUCAUGCAGGGUGUGUGAUUUAGCCUUGUAUUUUCAUCUUUCAUAACUUCAUUAAUUAAUUUACAGUAAAAAUUACCUGCCUACACGAUGCCCCAAACGUGUGGUGAAAUUAUUCAAAACUAACUCAGGCUGGUGACUGGUCGGAUUUCCAUGAUUCUGCAAGUGGAGAUGAAAAUGAGAAAAUACUGAUCUAACAAGGGCUGUAUUGAAAUCGAGAGAAUGAUGAGGGACUAAAUGUAAAAUAAAAAAAAAUCAUCCUACCUUAAUGUCUUUUCGCAAAACAAGCUUUGAAAGUUUGAAGUGAGCAGUAGGACCAUUCGGUAUCCCAAUAAUCAACAGAGCAUCUGCAUCGACUUGCAAAGAUUAACAAAAAUCGAAUAUCCAGGAUGAUACAGAAUCUGCAAGUUGAUUCAUCCUAAUAUGCCCUCAAAACCCUACCCGAUUUCUAUCGACUACUGAUCAAGAUUUAAUUAAAAAGAAUACUGAUCAAGAUUUAAUUAAAAAGAAUAAAAAAUAAGCACUUAUUUUAAUUGAAUCAACCGUCACCACUCUAACAUCUUAAACUUCAAGCAUAGCAGAACAAUUAUUAAUAUGCGAGUCGAGAUCAGAGCAGGGGUUGACCUGGUUCCCGGCGGUUGGUGUGGACAACUAUGACUGAUGUGAAAUCCUUCUUUUUUGCAUAUUCAACAAUCUGCAUUAACAUCAAAAAUUACAAAGAAUCACACACUAUCCCACACAAACUGAAAACACAAACUCGAAACUAAUUAAUUGGUGACGGGGCAGAAAAUAAAAGGGAGAGAAAUUCAGAAACCUUUUUGAGGUCAUAUGUUCCUCUCUUGUAGUAAUGAGCAUUGGGAAUGAUAGAGCGCAAAUCUUCAAUAAAAUCGGGUCCUCUCUGAAGUACACCAUACAAAACCAUCAUUAGCAAAGGAAAAAAAACGAGAUCAAGUUAAAAAAAAAUCGAAACUUGCGAGUAAAACCAUACGGAUGAAUGGAAUCGGGAGGUGGUAAUCAAUAUCUUAGGUAUGCAUUCUUGUUUCAAGAUGGAGCUGAAUUCAUCUGCAUCGUUUCCAGCAAAUAGCUCCUCGUCGUCGGGUUUGCAUACAGUUUCGUCCAAUUCACGAGUGUUCUCGAUUGUCCGAGGGGUUUUCUUGGGCGGUGGGUCCUCUCCCAGCUCCAAGGCUUUCUUUUCCGCAGCUUCGCGAACUUUUUGGUUCCUCUUCUUCUCUACCUUCUUUUGCUGCUUCAACUUCGCAUGGACUGCUGAUCUUUUCUCUUUGUUUUUAAUUGACGAUGGAAGCAAAGUCUCCUUCAUCUUCGCUGUUUUUUUUAAUGUUACUUACACCGCCUAAAGGAUACAAAUUUCAAUUAAUACUGACAGAAAUUAAGCAGAAGGUAUUCGUGUGUAGAGCUUUAACACACUCGAAAAUACGAAUAAAUGCCAAACAGAUUGUUUGCUCGUAUAAUUUGUAUUCGAUUUAUUCAAGAGAACUGAAAUAUUCUAUGUGAUAUUGCCCCCUGAUAUCCAACAAAUCCAGCACAGACUAGUCAUCACACACACACACACACACACACACACACACAAAAUCGAUUAAUCUUUUAACAGAAGUAAGACAGAAGGUAUUUAUGUGCAGGAUUUAAAACACAAUUGAAUUGACAAUAUGAAUUCAUAGCUAAACAGAACUGUUUGCAUAAACUAUGGGCGGAAAAAAAGGGGGUGAAAUUUGAUUUUACAACGAAAUUGAAAACUAACUUCGACUCUGAGAAUGAAUUAGCAAUGAAAACUCCAGUAUAUGAAAAUUAUAACAGAUUGGAGGAAAUAUAUUAGACCUAGAUACCACACAAUAAAUCCACCAUACCACACAAAUCAGAACGAAUUUUGAAAUAAUGAAAAGGUGAUUAACGAGAAGGACGUACCGAAUACAAAUUUAUCUACGCACGAAGCAGGCCGGCGGCGGGAAGAGAAAUUGAGGAGCGGACCGGCGGCGGCGGCGGCGAGAGUAGGCACGGGAAGUGUUUAUAGCCGUUCUCGUGGGUUGGGAGAGUUGUGUAGGUUUUAUCACUUGCUUAGGUUUCAAUUUCGAUUUUUUAUUAAUUGGAAAAAAAUGACAUAAAUUCUUCUAAUUCCAAAUUUAUUACUAGCAUUUUCCUCUCGUAGGAUGCACGAAAUAUUAUUUAAAUAGUGAAAUUAUAAGAAAAUAUAGUACACUAAUAUAGUAAAAUUUAAUAAUGUAAUAUAAUUCAUAUUGAAUUUCUAGUUUUAUCUCUUAAAAUUUGAGAUAUAUUGAUGAAAAUUAGAAGAUCAAUAAUUGUUGAAAAUUAUACUUAAAAAAUUAAUAUAAAAAAAAUAUUAAAAAUAAAUAAUUACAUCAAUAAGGUAAAAAUUUUCAAGGGUUAGUUUUAAUUUUGAUAAUUAUUAAAAAUUAUAGUUAGAAAUUAGUAGAGAAAAAAUAUUAAAAAUAAAUAAUUACAGAAAUACCAUGAGGGUAGUUAAAAAAUUGUAGAGAAAAAAUAUUAAAAAUAAAUAAUUACAGAAAUACCAUUAUGAUUUUUUAGAAUUGUCCAGCGUCUCUUUCUUUUAUAUAUAAGAUUAAUUAAAAAUGACAUAAAUAAUGAAUAAAAAUGUCAUAAAUUCUUCAUUAUUUAUGUCAAAAAUAAUAAAAUAUAUGUUAUAAAUAUAAUAUUAGAAAGAGAAAUAAUUAACCUUUGUUUUGGAAAACCUUAUUGGUAGUAAAUAUUUUUAUUCUCUUUUUAAUAAAAAUAAAAUUCAUAAUCUAUUUGUAAAAGUUCUUAAAGUUGAAAGUUUUGUCAAAAUUUAAAAUAAACUCCAUUGUUAAAAAUUUAAGAAAAAUAAAUAUAUUUAUUUAUAAUUAAAAAAAGAAAGCAUAAACCCCUCCCCCACCCAAACCCCUUACCCCAUUACCACAGAAUUUCCUACUCUCGGCGGCCGGAAGUAAAGCAGAAUAAAUGAACCACCGAGUAGCCGCCUAGGUUUCCGACCAUCAUCUAUCUCUGCUCAGUCUCCCUCUCUCUCUCUUGUGCAUAAUGGAUUUGCAAAUCAAGCAUGCGAUGGUAGUUAAGGUUAUCGGCAUGACGUGGUCACACGGCCAAGUCUUUCAGGUCAGAUUCCAAUUUGCUGCUGAUUAUCAAACCCUAGAUUGUGGUUCAUUUUUUCCUUACUCCAUUGUAGAAUGAAAUUCUGAAAUGAUAAAUGCAGAAUAAAACAAUUAAGGUCUUUUCGUUUGAUUUUGAUUGGGAAUUUCUAUCCAAUUUGUUCAAGUUUAAUUCAGAUUGGAAGUGCAUAAUUUGGACUCCGAUACUGUAUUUAGGAAUUUCAAUUGUUUAAUUUGUACUUUAUUUAAGCUUAUUUUUGAAAAUUUCUGUUCUUUUUUAUUAGUUUUGAUUUUGUGUUUGUUGUCUGUUUAGUUGCAGAAUCGAUCGUUGAGAAAUUAUCGUCGGGUCUGUUUAAGGUGUUCGUCUUUGAAUGCUGAGAAAUCCGUUAAUUUUAAUUUUCCUCCGAGUGUUAGGCUAUCUUGUGCUCUCAGAAACAAGCCAGAAAAGAAGAUUCAUCCACUAAGAAGUUUCGCUAAUACGCAUCCCUCUUUUUCUGCGUUUAAAGUACCCGUAAAUGCUUCUCAUUACGGGAUGUUAAGUGGAAUGUGCUCGAAUUAUUACAGUAGUAGUAGCAGAGCAUUUUCGCAGAUGCCAAAUGCAAGUGCCCAAAAUAAUAUUGUUACGAAAGAAAGUGGGGGCAGUGAGAAGAACAGUUUAUUCAAAAUAUUUAAUAAGCAGAGGAAGUGGCCAAAGGGUCUUGCUGCCCACAAAGGAAAUGCAGCUCCGACUGAGGAAUUGCCAAGCAGCAGCUCCGAUGGUAAAGCAGCAGCUUUUGAUGAUGUCAUUUUGUCCCCUUUAAACGGUCAAAUUGUUAAGGAUAGUGAGAAAUCUUUAGUCGGCAAAAAUAUACAAACACCAAAAGGCAAAGAGAAAGCGAAGCCUCAAUCUAGGAGCAAGAAAAAGCAAACUCAAAGUGCUGUUGCUGAUGACACAUCGGACAUGCCAAUUAACCCCGUAAAGAUUUCUCAAGCAAAGGAGACUAAGAAUAACAAAAGCAAGAAAACUCCUAUUUCGUUAGAGGUUAGAAGCAUGCAUACCUUUUAGUCUAAUUGGAUUUUUAGUUACUGUGUUGUUAUUUUAACUAACUAUUGGUUGCAGGUUAAUUCGACUUCAAGUACAACAGAAGUGGUUGAUAGUAAUAUUCCAAUCAAGAUUGUCAAGAAGAAAGCAACUAAAAAGGGGAAAGCAAAUACAAAAUCACGUUCUCCUCUGAAAUCUAACGAGGAACUUAUUGUACAAUCAGAUGUCAAAGUACCGAGCCAAGAGUCACACGUGGUCGUUAAAACUAAGUCUCAAGGCCCAAAGGUUUGGAAUCAAUUAUAUCCACCUAUUGCUAAAUCUGUGGUAGUGGUGGAAUCUGCUACAAAGGCUAAAGUGAUUCAAGGAUAUCUUGGUGAAAUGUACGAGGUUGUAGCAAGUUAUGGCCAUGUUAGAGAUUUGGCUGCAAGAUCAGGAUCUGUACGACCUGACGAUGAUUUCAGUAUGGUGUGGGAAGUCCCAUCCGCUGCGUGGUCUCAUCUUAAGAGUAUUAAGGUUGCACUUUGUGGGUAUGUAGCUCUCUGUCCGAAUAUCUCCAAUUUUGGAACAAUAUUUUUCAUUCCGAAUUCUGAAAGUUCCAAUUUCAGAUUCUUUUUUGGAAUAAAACUAGAAAACUACUAGAAAAUUUCUGAAGAUUACGCUUGUAACAUCAAUAUUAUUAUGUUAUUAUACUAUAGGUGACUAAAGAAAUGGAAAUUUCCAAAUUUUGCUGGUUCCAAUCUGAAAAUUUCCAACUUUCGAACAUUCUUUUUCAUUUCAAUUUCCAAAAGUCCGAUUUCCGAUAUUUCCGAAUAUUUUUUGGAACGGAGUUGGAAUUAGUUUUUCACUUCCAAAAAAAAUGGAAUUUUUUUGAAAGUGCAAAUUCCAAUAUGAGUUCUCCGAUUACGACGCCUACUUUGCUAUAGUAUUAUUAACUUCUUUCUCAUUCUACUUAUAUUUUUUUUAAAUCUUUUGCUUUACUGCUAUAUUGUAACUCACUUUUUUUGUUUCGAGUCUUGGGCCUGGUUUUGAAAGUAUUUUUAAGGCUCAAAUUAGAUUUCUGCACAUGCAGUUUCACUGAAUUAUCUCUCUGAAUAAUUUUGUUUGUCAGUUGGUUUGUUUAUUGUCUGAUCUCCUCUCUUGUUUCCAGAGCAGAAAAUCUUAUUCUUGCCUCAGACCCUGAUCGUGAAGGAGAGGCAAUUGCUUGGCACAUACUCGAAAUGUUGCAGCAACAGGAUGCUUUGCGCGAUGAUGUUACUGUUGCAAGAGUUGUUUUCAACGAAAUAACCGAAUCAUCCAUUAAAACUGCUCUGCAGUCCCCACGAGAGAUCGAUGCAGACUUGGUGCAUGCUUAUCUCGCACGGCGUGCACUUGAUUAUCUGAUUGGUUUCAAUGUUUCUCCUUUAUUAUGGAGGAAAUUACCUGGUUGCCAGUCCGCUGGGCGUGUCCAAUCAGCUGCUUUAGCUCUUAUAUGUGAUAGAGAAAAAGAAAUCGACGAAUUCAAAGCUCAGGAGUAUUGGUCAAUCGAUGUUCAAUUCCAGAAGAACGAUUCAAAUUCAGCCAAGAACACUUCUAUCGCCUCACAUUUAACCCAUUUCGAUUCCAAAAAGCUGAGUCAGUUGUCGAUUAGCUCUAGUACAGAGGCAAAAGAUAUUGAAGAAAAGAUUAACAUGUCCAAGUUUGAGGUCACCGGUUCUAAAACUAGCAAAAGUCGGAGAAAUCCACCAAUGCCGUACAUAACGUCAACUCUUCAGCAAGAUGCUGCAAACAAAUUGAAUUUUGCAGCGUCACAUACAAUGAAAGUUGCACAGAAGCUUUACGAGGGAGUCCAAUUAUCCGACGGCAAGUCUACUGGACUAAUAACUUACAUGAGAACUGACGGCUUGCACUUAUCAGACGAAGCAAGUAAGGAUAUCCAAUCCUUUAUCGUGGAGAAGUAUGGCCAGGAUUUUGCAGCAAAGAGUAAACGCAAAUAUUUUAAGAAGGUGAAAAAUGCUCAGGAGGCUCAUGAAGCCAUUAGACCCACCGAUAUCCGAAGACUUCCAUCAAUGCUUGCUGCGGUGCUCGAUGAAGAGUCCCUCAAGUUGUACACUCUCAUAUGGUGUCGUACGACUGCAUGUCAGAUGGAACCUGCUGUAAUUGAGCAUAUACAAUGUGAUAUUGGCAAUGCUAACCAGUCCAUUGUUUUCCGUUCAACAUGCUCGAGAGUGGAAUUUAAAGGCUUUCAAGCGGCUUAUGAAGACCAAGAAACAUUCAGAGACAGAAAUAUCGAGGAUGAAGAGAAUCACCGCAGUGAAACAUACGAGGUUUUGAGUUCUUUGAAAUGUGGGCAGCCAUUGUGCGUGACUGAAGUAGAACUCGAUCAACAUUCUACGCAGCAUCCACCUCGAUACUCCGAGGGAUCGUUAGUGAAGAAGCUGGAGGAACUUGGCAUAGGAAGACCUUCUACUUAUGCAACCACUAUUAAGGUGCUAAAAGACAGAAAUUACAUAACAGUUAAAAGCAGGACACUGUAUCCAGAAUUUCGUGGGCGGAUGGUUUCGGCUUUCCUCUCUCACUAUUUUUCUGAGGUGACGGAUUAUAGUUUCACUGCUGAUAUGGAGACCGAACUCGAUAAUGUUUCGGCUGGAUUAACUGAAUGGAAAGGCCUUUUAAAAGAUUAUUGGACUAGAUUUAGCAAGUACUGCGAGUGCGCUGGCAGUGUGCAUAUCCAUCAGGUGGAGAAGAUGUUGGAGAAAACAUUUGGCAAUUUCUUGUUCGCGUCGCUUCGCGAUGGAAAUAAAACUUGCCCAAGUUGUGGAGAAGGAACAUUGGUUUUCAAAGUUAGCAGGUUCGGUGCAGGGUACUUUAUUGGCUGUGAUCAACACCCAAAGUGCAAGUGAGUAUUUGACUUCAUUCGUAAUGCCUCUGUGGGUUUCGUUUUAUGUAUGGUUUGUGAAUUAUGUUAUUGACAUCUGUGCAGGUACAUUGCUAAAACACUCUACGGCGAAGAUGAUGAAGAAAUCACUCCUGAAAAUCAGAAGAACAACGUGCAGGAGCCGAAGCUGCUUGGUCUAAAUCCAGGAUCAAACGAGAAGGUUUUCAUCUGAUAAUACGAUUGUGUUUGUGGAUUGUAUUCUAAUAACUGUUAUGUUCAUCGAUCAUUCUGAUUUUUUUCUUGUUAAUGUUUGUUUUGUUUUUUUUUUUUCACCACCUUCUUAGGUUCUUCUGAAGUGUGGCCCAUACGGACACUAUGUGCAGCUUGGUGAAGAUAGGAAGGGGCACUUACCUAAGCGAGCCUCGGCGAAACAAGUAUGUAUUUGUUUUUAGUGGUUAUGGUUCAAUAACCCGUUUUUUCUCCGUGUGUGUGUGUAUAUAUUACAUAUAUAUAGGAAACAUAAGGCCACAUUGAUUGUCUGAUUCCCUGGUUGAAGUCACCUAGUCAAAAAAAAAAAAAAAAGUUCUGGAAACCUCUCGAUAAACUGGAACUUUUAUCAUUGAUACUUAUGUAUCUUACAUUCCAAUUUUAAAUUUCUCAAUGUUUCUUUUCUCACUACCCAUAUGCCAUAAUUCUUAGGCAGUACAAACUCUUCAAUUUAGUAAUGGAAUUAUGGUGCUUGCAAUAUGUUCGUUUCUCGCGUCACUUAUCCAAUAUUCAUGUUUUAUUACACUAGAUAAAGAAUGCAGACUCCAUCACAUUGGAAGAUGCCUUGGAAUUACUCAAGUAUCCAUUGACCUUGGUAUGUUUUGAUUUUCAGUGCAAUGUGCCUUUUUUUCCUAUAUUUAACUUCACAUCAUCAAACCGAUCUUAUAGAUACAUACGUUCUUUAUUUUAUUUUAUUUUAUUUUUUAAUUUACUUUUUUCUUUUUUUAUCUUUUAAUUAUCAGGGAAACCAUCCAGACGAUGACCAACCGGUAGUUUUAAAGCUUGCCAACGUCGGAUAUACCAUUAGACACAGACGCACAAUUGCUUCAGUACCCAAGGUUAAAAGUCCAUUCAUGUUUUAUCACUCGCAUUAUUUAUAUUUCGUUUUGGGUUUUAUAAAAAAAAAAAAUCUUUUACGACUCGAAAACCUGAUUAUUUGCAAUCCGAUUAAUGGUUACAGAAUAUGAAGCCAAAUGACGUAACCUUAGAGAAAGCUUUGGAGCUACUAAAGGGUGACGAUGUAAGGAGGUGUGGACGCCCCAAACGCAAAGCUGUGGUUAAAGAGGCUGUCUGAGCACAGGUUGAUUUUCAUUACACAAAUUAGUUUGUCUGUAGGUAGAGAUAUAUGUUCUUGUCAGGACAUAACAUAUACAGAGAAAAGUUUGUCUCAUUUUUGUUGGUAAUAAGUGUAAUUUUCAUUUAUUUGUUUUGGCAAAUGAUUGUGAUUUUUUUUUUCCUUUUCCAGAUGGCCUUAUAUAUAUAAUAGAAAUUCUAUAAUUUAUUUUACAUGUAGAACACUUCUAUGAUGGUAUUUUAUUCAUUUUUAAAAACAUAAAAACAAAUGUAACACGGAAAUCGGAUUACGAUGUAACACCUCGAACGUGCCUCAGUGGGGUACUGAUUAAAAAACGAAGCGAAAACAAAGAUUCGAGUGAUGAGAAUCGAGUGAUGUAUUCAAUUGUGCAAAAGCCCAGCCUGUUUGUAGUUCUCAACAGAGUCCACAAGAGUUUCUUUCAAUGGCCUAUACUUCCAGCCAAGCCUUUGCAGCUUCUCUGAACUCACUUCUGACAUAUUUCCCCCAUCUUUGAAGCUGCAAAAUCAACAAGAAACGAGAUUAUUUCGAAGAAAAGAGAAAAAAAGGAGAAAUUACUACUUUGAAGGAAAAAUUACUACCUCUUGGGAUAGUUAUAGUUCGGAUAGAUUUCCUUGAGAGUUUGAACUAAAUCCCGAUUCUUGAUCGCGUGGGCUGUGCAUAUGUAUCUACCUUCAGCUUCGGGUUUUUCAUAUACUAAUUUCAAGGCCUCGGCUACAUCGCGCACAUCUACUAUUUUCCGGAGGUUGUUUUCCGUUUCCUCAUAUCCUUCUGCGUGAUUAAUCAAUUAAGAAAGAGACGUUAUAUUAUAUCGUAAGUCAAUUCAGACUCUUUUGAAAAACAAUUCAGACAACCGAAUUUUCAAACGAAGUCCAUUUAUACGGUAGUUUCUGAUCGAUGAAUCUAAUCCUUAUACGGAACAAAAUAUACCUCUCAAUAUCUUAACGAGAGCCAAACUGCUAGCGUUUGUUGCAUGCUGCAGCAUAGGUCCCAAAACGAGCGUCGGACACAAAGUGACGACAUUAAGCCCCGUUUUAUUUGCAUAUUCCCAAGCUUCGGCUUCCGCCACUGUCUUCGAAACACAAUACCAUUGCUGUAUGCAUGUACGUGUAAGAAAAAAAUCGAGCUUGAUCUAAAAAAGCAAUAAAAAAUCUUGUAAAUGAAAUUGAAUUUUAAGGGGGCGAGCAAAAUUACGUUAUUGGCCUUGCAGUAUUCAAUGUCCGACCAACAAGUCUCGUCCAUUACUCGAUCCUUGGGCCAUUUUGGGUUCAUGUAAACUGCAGCAACUGAUGAAACGAUUACCGCUCGUUUCACUUUCGCCUCGGAGCAUGCUUUGAGUACGUUAAUAGUACCUUCUAGAGCAGGCUUAACCAAUUCCACCUGUACCAUUAUUCACAUGAUCAUUAAAAAAAAUAAAAAAGUAAAAUAAAUGAAUAAAUAGAAUACUAUGAUGCAACGAACAACAAAGACGAAUGACUAAUCCAAUAAAUCAACACCAAAAACCAAUCACACAUGCUUUACUUAUGUCCGAAAAGUUAUUUCGUAUUUGACUUAUUAAUUACGAUUUCACCAUUACGAAGUUACAAUCUGCUUCUGAUUUUUUUUAUCAAAAUCCCGAUUUUGACUACAAUGUUUGCUAAAAAAGCAACUUAAAACAAGCCUCAAAUUCAUGAACUUUCCUCCGAAAAUCACAAUUAAUUAACAAACUCUAAACUAUUAAUUAAUACAAUUUGAGAUUGAAGUCGAGAGUUGAUUAAACAUGCCUCUGGAUUUGGAACGGAGCCUGGAGGAACUGGACUCGCAACAUGGAACACUCCGUCACAUCCUUUAACAGCCGCAAAAACGGAGUUGAAAUCCAGUAAAUCUGCCUUUACGAUUUUCAGCCUUUCGGCUGAAUUUUCGAGUUUUUUCAAAUGAACAUUUUUUUCAUCUCCUGCAAAAAAAAAAAAAAAAAAAACAAGGAAACUUAUAGUUGGUAGCAAAAGUACAACAAUUAAACCUUCAAAUCAAACAAUAACCACACGUAUAGGUGGAAUUCAGACAGAUCGGAUCGGAAUUUACACUUCCGCAAAAAAUUCAAUUUUCCGGAAGCAAAAAACCAAUUCAAACUCCAUUCCGAAAAUUUCGAAAAAAAUCCCAAAUUUGAAUUUCGGAAAUAGAAAUGAAAAAAGUCAUUCCAAAAUCGGAAUCGGUGGAAAUCAGAAAUGUCAUUUUUCUGUAUUCACCUAUAACAUAAAAAUACAUAAUAACGUUGACACUAUUUAAGUGUAAUUUUUCGGAUCGAAUUUUUUGGAAUUAUAUUCGAAAUUAAAAUCAGAUCGGAAAUCGGAAGUCGGAACCCUAAUCCAAAAAAAAGAGAAAAUUUGGAAAAUAGUAUUGGGAAUGAAUAGUAUUGUUCCAAAAUCGAAAAAUUCCGUUCCAAUUUGCAGCCGUACUGACCUACUCAAUCCCCAAAUAUUAAACAAAAAUCAAAUAUGGCAGAAUAAUAAUCAAACAAUUACUAAAACUGAAUACUAAAAUUAACAAAAAAUAGAGAGAGAGAGAGAGAGAGAGAGAGAGAGAGAGAGAGAGAGAGAGAGAGAGAGAGAGAGAGAGAGAGAGAGAGAGAGAGAGACGAGGGUUUCUGACGGUGCCAUUGACGGUGUAGCCCUGAGAAAGGAGAAGCUUGAUCAGCCAUGAAGCCACGUACCCACCGGCGCCUGUUACACAUACUACGCUGCUAUUUUUUCCUGCCAUUUUUUUGUAAUUCCUUCAAUUAAAAAUAAAAAUAUUUGGAAAAAUAAUACAGCCGAUUAAUUCUGCCACCACCACCGCAUAUAUACGAUGCACCGCCUCCGAUCAUUUUAUUUUCCAGGUGGCUUCGUACGCUUGCGUCAUCCAUGACGUCACUCUCUCUCUCUAUCUGUGUGUGUGCGCGAUAUGCCUGGGUGGAAAUCAGACACGUGGAAAUUACAAUUUAGGGAAAUCAAAUCCAUUUUGACUUGAUGAAAAGAAUUCGAUUCGAUUACAUUCCGAUUUUGGUUCCAAUUAGUCCAAUUUUCGAUCACAAUCAAAACCAAAUCCAAAUUGACACUGUACUAAAAAAAACAUGUGCUCUUUUCUAGAAGUUAAUUUUUCUCCUCUCUUUUCUCUGUCUCUAAUUAGGCGAAAUUGCACUUUGUCUUGCCUUAAACUUGUUUAGACCAAGUUUAAAUACCUUUCUAUCAUAAUUCAAUCAAAAUUUAUCGAGUUACUCAAUUCUGUACUUCUUCUCAAAAAAAAAAAAAAAAAUCUGUAACUUCGAUAAAAUCGGAAUAGUUACCUUCGUUGGUAUACUAUCACAUUAGGAUCAAAUCGAAUGAAUCGGGUUGAAAUAUUUCUUAUCAAUUCCAGUCAAAAAAUGAAUAAUUUGUAAUAUAACAUAGAAGGCCCAUAAUCAUUUUUUCAAAUAAAUCUGUUUUUUCUUUUUAUGUUAUUUCGUACUCCAUAUGUUCCACACUAACUGUUUCUUUUUAAAAAUAUUUUUGUUCCAUAUUAACUAUCACUUUAGAUUUCCAAUACUGCAUUAAAUGCAUUUUUUCCUGUUUUAACCGUAUUAAUUCAAGGGUCUAUUAGAUAUAACCCCUUAGUCUUACAAAUAAUAAGGGUAGACCCAAACUCAAAUUUGUCAUUUUGAUAAAAACCCAUAUUUUUCUAAAUUACAUCAGUACCCUCAAUCAAAUCCCACAAAUCCCGUUACUUUACCUUUUGAAAUAAUAUCAAAUCCCUCCCUAUUUUCCCGUUAAAACACUAUCCCCACAAACUCACUACCAAAAUCUGCAAACGUCCCAAAGAAAACAAGAAAUUUAUACACCGGCGAUUGACGAUUUUCUGCACUCCUAAAUCCCUCCCUAUUUUCCCGCCGGGUUCGCCGCUUCCCUCCGACCGCCGCCACCUCCGUCACUGUUGUCGCCGGUGGCCAACGACGAUAACAACGAUAUUGGCCAUAAGCAACACCUCCACCACCGCCUAGUCCUCCACCACCACCACAUCCGACCACCUCUACCUCCAAGACCGCCAAAAACGACCAAGACAUCCGCCGCUCCCGCCUCCAAGGUCGUAAUAAUCAAUUUAGGAGUGAUAUCGUCGUUGGCCGCCGUCGCCGCCGCCGUCACUGCUCCAAACUAGGGUUACUCAAAUCUAGGAUUACUCAAAUCUAGGGUUUUGAUAAUUCUUCGGCCCAUAGUUGAUUAACGACAUGCAUAGUCAAAUUACAUCUGUAUUAAUAGACUAUCUCAUAUCAUUUAAUAGACUAUCCCACUGAUAUAAUUUGACUAUGGAUCUUGUUAAUCGACUAUGGGCCGAAGAAUCAUCAAAACCCUAGAUUUGAGAAGUGACGGCGGCGGAUUUGUGUUUUAAAAUUAAUAGACUAUCUCAUAUCAUUUAAUAGACUAUCCCAUAUAUCUAAUUCGACUAUGGGUUUAGUUAUUUGACUAUUGGGCCGAAGAAUCAACAAAAUCCUAGAUCUGAUAAGUGAUGGCGGCGGAUUUGUGUUUUAAUAUUGUUAGACUAUCCCAUAUCAUGUAAUAGACUAUCUCAUUGAUCUAAUUCGACUAUGGAUCUCGUUAAUCGACUAUGGAUUCCGUAUUAUUCAACCACAUAGUAUAUUAAUAAUUUCAUAUAGUACAUUAAUCUGCUAUGAUAGUAUAUUACGGUUAUAGUAGUGAUAUGAAAUUGUGUUACAAACAAUAUACCACUGAAAUGACAAGAACAUUGAGAACAAAACCAACGUAAAGUAAUUCCAACAUAACCAAUAAAAUAGUGCAUUAAUAAUCUCAUAAUUUCAAUCUAGGGUUUUGAUAAAAUACUUAAAACACAUCAUAACACAAUCAAACCAAUAUGUCGAGUUAAAAAACUCUAGUACAUUAAUAAUCUCAUAAUAGUAUAAUAAAAUGAUAAUGGUAGUGUCAUACGGUAUUCAUAAUAGUAUAUUACUGUAUUACACGGUUUAACACUUAACCGAAGUUACCGAGCCAUUACAUCGUAAACACGACAUUAAUUAAACAUAUCAAAUCUUAGGGUGGUUUGGAAAAUAACAACCAUCGGAAUCAUUUGAAUUCAUUGAGUUUAUGUCCUCGUCGCUAUCAUCCCCGAACAAUCUGGCGCCUAUUUCCUCCGCUGCGGAUCGUCACCUCCACCUAGACCUCGUUCUCUCCGAUUAGCUCCGCCGUGCUUCCGUUGAACUCGCGGACGGUGCCGGGUGAAUUAGAUGAGGAAAGUACUUGCUCCUCGCCGGAGUCCGACGGAGACACCGUCUGCUGUGGUGCAGCUGGAGUGAGGUGCUCUGACACCGCCGCAGACAGCGUCGCCGCCGCGGUCGGCGGCGGCGUAGCAAUUUUCCGGCGCUGGAUUUCGCACAACAACCUUUUCUCGUCUUUUCGAAAGCAUUCAUUGGAGAACUCCCACCGAUCAGGCAUAACCUUCUUAAAUCCCUAAAAAAUCAUCAGAUAAGCAACUCAAUCAAUAACCGGGAAAAAAAAAAAAAAAAAACCAAAAUUCCUCGUUACAGAUCGAAGGAUUCGAUUAGCAAAAGCUCACGUAAGUAUUCAGUUGCCGAACGAAACUGGAGAAAUUGUUGUGCUUGAAAUACUUGGGCAGCAAAUCUGGCAAACUCACGUAAUUUGGCCCAACGAAACCGCCAAUAUACUCGCGUAAUUUUAUUCCGUGAUUUUAGGCAACGUAUCAGCAAUCUCAUAUCAUGUAGUUAAGGAAAUAAAUGCCGUUCAAAAAUAAAGCAGGGGUAUUAAAGGGAAAUUAAAUAAUAUAUUGUGUCAAGUUGGCAUAUUGGGGUGUAUAUCAAAAAGGGAAAAUUUAAUUGGAUCUACCUCAUUAGAAAAUAUGAACAAGGGGGUUAUCUCUAAUAAACCCUUAAUUCAAUUAUAAGUAUUAACUCUCUCUUAUCACAUCAUUAAAUAAUCAAUGUUAUUUUAGUCUUUCUAAUAUAUUUUACUUAAAAUCAAAACACAUUUAUUGAGCUUCUUAAUCAUUGUGCAAAGCCAAAACGACACUUAAUCGGAAUGGAGGGAGUACCUUGUAAGCUAAAAAAAAAGCAUAAUUCAUAAAAAAAAAAAGAAAAAAAAUGAAAAAAAAUCAUUCAAUUUUUAAUAGGAAAUAAAUUUAAAAAUUACAAAUCAUGUUUUAUCUUUGAAGAGUUAAUGCACAAAACAAAAUUUAUUAGUAUUUUGGAAAGUAGUGACACAUGCACUGAUUAAUAUGAAACAUUAAAAAAAUAAAAUAUAUUAAACAUAAUUACAAAAAAUACUAUAUAUUAUAAGAAGUUCAGCGAGUGGAGUUACGUAUAUUGUACGCGUGUGUUUAUUUAUUUAUUUAAUAUGUAUAAUAUAAUUUAAUUUGGGUGUGUCUGAGGUGACGUGGAUUUUAGGGCAGGGAAUAAACACGUGCAUGCGAAGACGAGACCACCUGGUGAAAUGUUACAAUCAAGCUAACUUUAUGACACCAUCAAUUUGCAACACAUGUUAUUGUUAUUUGUUAAUAUUCGUUUUUUUUUUUUUUUUCCAAUUUUCUUUGGGUCAAAUGUUUAUUGUUUUUUUCUUUGUUGACACGUCAUCUUUAUUGUGAUUAAUGUGUCGGGAGAUGCCCUUUGCCAACGAGGAUGGGAUUAAAUAACGUCGGCGUGUGUAAUUAUCGGGUUAAUAACGCCCAGUGUAUUUCAUCGGGUGUGACAUUAAAUAAAACACGUUUUCUCUAUUAUUUCGAUUGAUAGUCACAUUUAGUUACACGCUAUUUACGUUUUUCAUGAAGAUUUGAGGUAGAAUAGAACAAAUUUUGUUAAUCAAAUUUGUUACUAACUUAUGCUAUUUAUUCAAUUGCAUUUUGUAUUGUUCAAUCAGAACAAAACUUAAAUAUGUUACUCCCCCAGUUUCAAAAUAAGUGUCAUUUAAGGUUAAUGCACACCAAUUAAAAAGUUAAUACACAUUCUUGAUUUCAGGGAAAAUAAUUCAUAUUUUACAAAAUUAGCCAUUUUGUGGCUCUAAAUCUUUAUUUAUAAGUUCAUUAAUCUCUCAUUAAUUGUAGGGUAAAAUUGUCUUAUCUUGAAAUUCUAAAGUGACACUUAAUAUGAAAAAUAAAAUUAUGGCUAAAGUGACACUUAAAAAGAAAUGGUGUGAGUAUUAUAUAAUGCAAAACAAGUUAAGUGACAAUAAUACAUGUAAAUAUUUAUAAAUUUUGAAUAAAAUUACAUUAACAAAAGUAAUAUGUCUAAAAUAUAUAAAAUUCAUCUCCUAAAACUUAAUUUUUUUUCUUGAGAUUUAGGUGGCGGGCUUAAUUAAAAAUGUUGUGUUGACCAAUAAAUUGAAUGAGCCAUAGGCCCAUAGUAUAGCAUGUAAAUUUUGGAGUGAAUGAGCUACCUAUGCUAAUCAAAGGGUGAUUACGUUUAAGACUUGCAAUUAUUUUAUUAAUCUUGCCAACAAAUCACUCUAAAUAAUCUAAUCUCUUAUUCUAUAUUAAUAAUUUCCAACUCUCUUCAAUAAUGAUCUCUAAUCUAAGUGGAUAUAAAAUACAACACAACAUAAAAGUAGUUCAAAUUGAGAUUAAAAAAAUAAAUUUAUAUUCGCCUAAAUAGGCUUGUUGACCCAUUUGAAUUUCUUUUAAUUUUACUAAUUAAUUAACUUCAAAAAAAAAAAAUUAACCUCAAAAUUAUUCUAAUUAGCAAGAAUGCUCUAUUGGUGGAAUAAGAGAAUAUGAUUUUUUUUUUAAGGAAGGGAGACUGCAACUUAUAACUACUUGGUUUACAUAUUUUCUAUGUAAUACGAAAGUUCUAACUUUUUAACGUUUGUGUGCUUCGGACAUGUUUCAUGUCCGACAUUCAAGGGCACCUGCUGGACCGGAUACCUUAUGAACUAUUUUGUAAUUUUUACAAACUUAGAAACAUGUUUGAAGAGCAAAAUUUUAAGUAUUUUUAUUGCCUCCCUAGUUAUUUACAUGAUUUAAUGAUCAAUUGCAAAUCGAUAGUUGAACAUAAUAUUUGUUUUGAAAAUAUUUGUAUCCAAAUACAUAAAAGGAUUUACAUAUAAAUAAAAAUUAUAUAUGACUAUAUAAUAUAUUUAUAAUUAUACGCCUAUACUUUUAAUGUUUACACGUUUCUCCCAAGUUCCCGUGUCCUCAUUUUUUAGAUAUGUUGUUUCCUGUUUCCCUAUAUAACCAUUUCAAUUUCCGUGCUACAUAACAACUCUUUUAUAGUUUGCAAACUAUCGUUCGAGAGCUAAAUUCAACCAAUAUAAUAAUGAUAAAAAUGAAAAAUCACAAAGAUUUUAACAAAUGAAGUAAGUAAAUUCCUAACAGUUAAGCAAAUUAACAAAAUCAUUUGUGAUAAUGUAAGUAAUAAUUUCUCAAUUGUAGUUAUAUUUGGAAGCAAUUUUCUCUUUAUUUCUCUAAUUAGGGAAGAGCACCACCACUAGGCAUAUUUGUUUCUAGAAGAAAAAGGAAUUAUAUAUAAUCAUAAGGGUAAAUUGCACCUACACCCCUGUAGUCUGCUAAAAUAACAUAAAUAUCCAUAUAGUAUCAGUAAUUACAAUCGCCCCCUGAAACAUUGUUAGAAACCCUAACAUAAUAAUGCAUUGAAUAAAUUAUUCCAUUAGAAUUAUAACAGUCUAUUAGUUUCAGCCUUUCAGGCAGUGGUGGAGCCAACAUAGAUUUAAUGGAUGAUAUGACUCUUCUAACAUUUCUUAAAUUCUUAUUAUUCUAUAGAAAAUUUAUAAAUUUUUGUCUAUGGUAGCAUUAACGACCCCGCGAGAAACAAAAUAGUGCACAUCGGUCCUCACAACUUGAAAUCUUGAAUACCAAUACCACAUGGACCUUAAAGUUAUUUUAUCAUACUUUAGGGGUGUAGAUGUAAUUUACGGUAAUUGCAAUAGAACGCAAUUGGAGGAGAAAUAUCAGCAAAAAAAGACAAAAACGAAAAAUGGCAGCACUUAUUUGAUGCUCCGCCACUCUCUCACUAUAAAGAAUUCAAACAAACCCCCGCAACCAUCGCUCCACCGCCCCUUCUCCAUUUUUAUUUUCCAUUUUUUUUUUUUCAGUUUUUACCCCUCUUUCUCUCUCCGCCGCCGCAGUUAUGGAAGUCCGCCGGAGGCCAGUCAAACCCUCACACACUAAAGGCUCCUCCGCCUCCGCCUCCGCCGCCGCCGUCGUCGAUCGCCGAUCGUCGUCUCCUAAAGCCUCCGACGCUCUCCCGCUGCCUCUGUACCUAACCAACGGCAUUUUCUUCACGCUCUUCUUCUCCGUGGCAUACUUCCUCCUCAACCGGUGGCGCGACAAGAUCCGUAACUCCACCCCGCUCCUCCACGUCCUCACUCUCUCCGAACUCGCCGGAAUCAUCUGCCUCGUCGCCUCCUUCAUCUACCUCAUAGGCUUCUUCGGCAUUGAUUUCGUCCAAUCGUUCAUCUGUAAAUCCGAAACCGACGACGACCACCACCAGUUCGUCCUCCACGAAGAUCGGAGCAUCCACUGUUCUCCUCCGCCGCCGGAGAAACCCCCUACGGCGGCAGAACUUCCUCCAGACGACGAGGAUCUCGUGAAAUGCGUCGUCUCCGGCGAAAUCCCGUCGUACUCUCUGGAAUCGAGGCUCGGCGACUGCUACAAGGCGGCCAAAAUCCGCCGCGAGGCGGUGCAGCGGCUGGCGGGGAGGUCCGUCGAGGGUUUGCCUUUGGAAGGAUUCGAUUACGACUCAAUUUUAGGGCAGUGCUGCGAGAUGCCGGUGGGGUAUGUGCAGAUUCCGGUGGGGAUUGUUGGCCCCCUUUUGCUGAACGAAUGCGAAUUCUCUGUGCCUAUGGCCACCACCGAAGGUUGCUUGGUGGCGAGCACAAACAGAGGCUGCAAGGCGAUCUACGCAUCCGGCGGCGCAACCUGCGUCCUUCUCCGAGACGGCAUGACCAGAGCUCCGGUUGUUAGGUUUUCGUCGGCAAAAAGAGCGUCGGAAUUGAAAUUCUUCCUCGAAGAUCCUCUCAAUUUCGAUACGUUGUCUGUCGUUUUCAACAAGUAAGCGAUUUUGUAAUUAGUUGAAAAUUGACCAAUCUGGUUCAAUUUAUAUCAAUGCAUGUCAUCUUGUUUGUUUGGAUUCGAGCUAAUCUGAUGUGGAUUGGUGUAAUUUGAAUUCUUAUAAUCGAAAUCGGAUAAAAUAUUGAAUCGAUUUAAUCGUUGUUCAGGUCAAGUAGAUUUGCAAGACUACAGGGUAUAAAUUGUGCAGUUGCUGGAAAAAAUCUGUACAUAAGAUUCAGAUGCAGCACAGGUGAUGCUAUGGGGAUGAACAUGGUUUCUAAAGGAGUUCAAAAUGUGUUGGACUUUCUCGAGAACGAUUUCCCCGAUAUGGAUAUUAUUGGCAUUUCCGGUGAGUGCUAUAUUGCUGAUUACGAUCCGAAUUUUUCCGAUUUUGGAACAAUAUUUUCCAUUCUGAAAUCCGGAAACUCCAUUUUUGUUUUUUCUUUUUUCGAUUUUUUUUUGUUGGAUCGGAAUUGGAAUAUAUAUGAGAUGCUGAUUUCCAAUCCGAUUUUAAUUUACGAAAAUAUUCCAACAAUUCUGAUUUUUUUUUCCAAAAAUAUUCCGAGUUUUUCCCGCGAAAAAUUAAAGUUAUCAUAUUAAUAUUGUUAUGCAUUUUAUAUAUUGGUUGACUAAAAAUUAGAACUUUUCGAGUCCUGCCGAUCCAAUAGGCAUUUUUUUUAUUUAUUUGGAAUAAGCUUUUUCAUUCCAAUUUUAGAAAUUUUGAUUUCUGAUCUUGCCGAUAUUUUUUUUUGGAACGGAAUUGGAAUUAGUUAUUUACUUCAAAAGAAAAUUCGCAAUUUUUCCGAAAAUACUAAUUCCGAUAUGAUCUGUCCAAUUUCCACUCCUAGUUUUUGGGGUGGAAGUUGGAACGGGAUUGCUGAUUUCUCCCGAUUCGAUCCGAAAUUUUUCCGAUUUUAUAACAAUAUUUUUAAAUUCCAGUCUAUUUUCCAUUUUUUUGGAUUGCAAUUGGAACAUAUAUUAUGAGAUUCCGAUUAUGGAUCAGGAUUUUAAUUUCCAGAAAUCAUUCGGAAAAUUCCAAAAAAUAUUUGUUGUUACUAUACUACAGUUUGUCUUAUACUAGAAAGAUUAUCAUAUGCUAUUACGACUUUCGGUGCAUGCAAUCAAUAUUUUGCUUUCCGUUUUCUUUUGUCGUUUAUGAGUAACUUUGUCUUUUUUGGUUGUUUAGGAAACUACUGUUCCGAUAAGAAACCAGCUGCAGUGAACUGGAUCGAAGGGCGUGGAAAAUCAGUAGUAUGCGAGGCUGUUAUUAGUGGUGAUGUGGUGGCAAAGGUGUUGAAAACCACCGUACCGGCCCUCGUCGAGCUGAACAUGCUCAAGAAUCUCACUGGCUCUGCCAUUGCCGGAGCUCUUGGCGGCUUCAAUGCACACGCCGCAAAUAUAGUCUCCGCAGUAUUUAUAGCUACUGGACAAGAUCCAGCUCAAAACAUCGAAAGCUCUCACUGUAUUACUAUGAUGGAGCCUGUUAAUAAUGGCAAGGAUCUUCACAUCUCGGUUACGAUGCCGUCUAUUGAGGUACUAUUUUAUCAACAUCAUAAUUCGUGUACUGUCGCUAAUUUGUUAUAUUUACUAUGCCGUCUAUUGAGAAAACAAUAUAAAUCUGAAAUAUACGGACCUUUAUUUUUCUUCGUAUGGUAUAUUGUGUAUCGGUAUUAGGGGUGGAAAUUAGAACGUAAUUUCUGAUUUCCGCCGAUUCCGAUCCGGAUUUUUUUCUGAAUUUGGAACAUUCAUUCCGAUUUUUGAAUUAGAAUUUUGGAAUAUAUAUUAUGAGAUUCCAAUUUCCGAAUUCGAUUUUAAUUUCGGGAAUAAUUCCGAAAAGUCCGAUUUGUUUUUCCGAAAACUACAAUUAUAAAUUAUAACAACAAUACUAUCAUGCAUUUUAUAACUAUCAUGCAUUUUAUAUUUAGAUGACUAGAAGGUUGGAAAUUUUGAAUUCCUUCCGAAAAUUUCCAAUUUCGGAACAAGUUUUUUCAUUCGAGUUUCCGAAAUUCCCAUUUCGGAUUUUAAUUUACGGAAAUAAUUCCGAAAAUUUUGAUUAUGCAUUUUAUAUUUUAGGUGACCUAAAAAUUGUAAAAUCUCCGAAAUUUUUCGAAUUUGGAACAAGUUCUUCAUUCCAAUUUCCGAUUUUCCCGCUUGCAAAAAAAAAAAAAAAAACCGAAGUAUGAUUAUAUUAAUCUAGAGACACCUUUAUACGUUUUUGUAUGGUAAAUUGCGUAUCAAUAUUCUGAAAACGCGAUUGCUGUUUCCGUUAUAGGUUGGAACCGUUGGAGGUGGAACUCAAUUGGCAUCGCAAUCUGCUUGUUUAAACCUUCUCGGAGUAAAGGGUGCUAACAAAGAGUCACCUGGUUCUAAUUCCCGGCUUUUGGCGACCAUUGUUGCCGGUUCAGUUUUGGCAGGUGAGCUCUCUCUAAUGUCUGCCAUUUCAGCCGGACAGCUCGUUAAAAGUCACAUGAAAUAUAAUCGAUCGAGCAGAGACAUCACCAAAAUCGGUUCCUAGGGUUUAGACAGAAACUCCCAGGUAUUCGAUUUAAAUAUAUUACAAUAAAUCAUUUCUAUAAUAUUUUGUAAUGCAACAAUUUGUUUUUUGUACAGGUUGAGUAAUUGUGUAGAUUAUCAUUGAACCUGGUCAAAUUUUAUGUUCAAAAAGUUUAGUGGUCUCUUUGUAAUUAAUUAUGUGUGGGGCUUCUUAGAGUUUGGAUUCAAUGGUAAGAAUGACUUUAUUGUGUGUUUGUGUGUGUAUGUUAUUUUAUUUUUAUUUUUUUAAAUUAUGUAUUUCCCAAAUGAAUGACAAAUUUAGUGUCCUUGCUAUUAUUUAUUGUCCAACUAUGUAAAGCUACACCAGGUAAAAUACACCGGACAUAUAGUUUUAUUUUAUACUUUUGAUUCGUGUACAAUUUACACAUGACGUACGAAUUUAUACACGUAUAUGUUAGAAUAUCAGCUCGGAGAAAAUAAGCAAGAAAAGUCUUGUCCUUUUAGUGUGCCACCAAUUUUGCUCUACUUGUUCAUAUAACAUGUGUGUGGUGGUAGUGGUGGUUAAAGGAAAAUUAUUUUUAUAAUAAUAAAUAAUUAGGCCAUAGUCCCCCACAAUUAGGGCUGGAAAUUGGAAUGGAAUUUUCGAAUUCAGCCAAUUCUGAUUCGAAAAUAUCCAUAUUGGAACCGUAAUUUUCAUUUUGAUUUUCGAAGUGCCGAUUUCAAAAUUUAUUUGGAAUGGAAUUGGAAUGGUAUAUAAAAUCACCAAAAAAUAUGUUGUAUAAUCUUUUUGUUAACCUAGUCUUUGAGUAGACUUUUUAUUUUUAUUUUCCAAGUAAUACAAAAUUGUCUACUCCUAGAGAACUUAUAGCAUAUAUUUAGCAGUGUUCUAAAAAUUGGUCGAGACGACCAAUUAAUCGAUCUUCAAGGUGGAGGCGGUCUAAAAUCUUUAUGCAUAAUUAAUUCUAGAGAUAGAAAGCAAACACAAUUUUUAAUACAAUACUGUCAAUCAUAAAUAUAAAAAACAAAUUAUUUUUAUAAUGCAUAAGUACAAGUUCAAAACAAUUAUAUCCUAUGUUUGUGUAUUAUAAUAAUAAAAAAGACCCAACAAAAUAGAAUAUAAUAAUACACAACAUUAUGAGCAUCUUAAUGGUCAUUUUCUCCAAUUUAAUAUGGUAAAAAAGAUUAUUAAUUUUGAAUAAAUGGAUUGAUUCCCAGCUCAUGAUAAUUUGGCAAUAUCUCAAAAAUAAUACAAUAAUUAACUCUUCCGAUGGCAUCACAUCACAUUGUUACACUUUUAUAAUCACAAUUAACGAGGAUUAACCCCACAAUUAACUACUCAAAUCACAUGGAAUCAAACAAUAAUUUAGAGGCUUAUUUUUGCAAUUUUGCUUAGAGUUGGGGUUAUUUCAGUCUUUGCUACUUUUCUGUUUAAUUACUGGAGAAAUUAAUUAAUUAUCUAUAAAUCCGAAAAUCACAUCCAUCAAACACCACAAUUAAAGACAAAAUCAAAUGUUGUCUUUUAAUGGCAAUUUUUUUUUUUGUUUCUUUCUCUUAUAUAAAUGUCACGAUAUGUGAAAUAUAUAAAAAUUUACAGUUUUUGUUUUAAUAUUAUAUAUUAUAAGUUUAUUUUUUUAAUAAAUAUAUAUUUUUCUAAUGUUUAUAUUUUAUUAGCGAGCUUUUAAAACUGUGCUUGAACUAUGUUAGAUAAGCAACUUUGUCGAUUUCGAACGAGCUUUAAUUUAGCCGAACAUGAAUCAAGCUUGAGUAGCUUGAAUUUUGCUGGAUAUUUUAUCAUUUUUAUCUAAUCAAGCCCCAAUUUCUCCAGUUUGUUUCGAUCAAAUUCGAAUAUAUAUAUAUAUAUAUAUAUAUAUAUAUAUAUAUAUAUAUAUAUAUACUUGUAAAUUAUGCAAAAAAUCCCAUCCCCCUAAUCCGAAAAUACUAAUUUAUUUUUUAUUUCGUAUUAGUUUUUCACUUGGAAAAAAAAUUGUAUUUUCCAAAAUACCAAGUAUGAUAUGGGCUUUUCAAGAUUCGGCCCAUUUUUUUAAAGUUGGGGAGAUUUCAAACAUUACAACAUUUUUUUUUUUAAAUUCGCAACUUUCAUAAAUUUAAAAAAUAAGGACAUCAUGUUUCAUAAAAUCAUAGAACUAAAAUUACUCGUACGAUAAAAUUUUAAUAUUUUAAAAAUACCUAUAAUAUUUUCAAUUGCAGUAGGCACUCAUAUAAUAAAUUCUAAUAUUUUAAAAACGCUCAUAAUGAUUUCAAUUACGUUAGAUAUAUGUUUUUAGACAUCUAUUUUCAAAAACCGGAAAAUUUCUAAACUCUCGAAUAGUAAAAGUGAAAACUAAGGAAGAAACCAGUGUUUUUUUACGCGAGAAACAACAAUAAAAUACUUUGGCUCCCCAAAUAUGGCCAAAAAUGUAUGUAAAUACUUCAAUUAUUUCACUUUAAGUAAAAUAAAAUAACAUAUUAAAAAUAUAUUUUUUGGCAAAAGUCGGAAUUUUCGGAGUUAACUUCAAAAAUUAAAUCGUAUCGAAAAUCGAAAGAAAUAUUUUGAAGUUCAAUCAAAAGAAAAAUCAGAAUGAAAAAAAUUAUUCCAAAUCAUAACAUCUUGGAUAAGAACCAGACGAAAAUUGAAAUUCAGUUGCAAACUAAUUAAUCAUCCUUGCUCAAAAAAAGAAAAAAAAAAUCCUUUUUGUUUUACUCACGUACAUAGUUUUUAGCUUUUGGUACAUAAACCAGAAAUUAAAAGACCAAUAAUAUUGUGCCACGUCAAACGUGAAAGAGGUACAGGUUAAUUUGACCACAGUGGAUUAUUUUUUAACCUCUUUCGAUUAUUCUCACCUCCAACUCUGAAAACUGUAAAUUGGUGACCAAGAAAUUCAACUGUAGAUUUGAUGUUCUCACCAAAUCCCCAAUUCCCUCAAAACCUAAUCUGAAUUUACAAUCGAAUUUCGAAGCAGAAUUUCAGCUCAAAUGUCAAGCGGCGGUUGGAGCAGAGCUUUCGGAAAUGCGAGGUCCUUUGUCGGCAAUUCAAUGGGCGGUCUGAGGGGCAGCAGCAGUUUAGCUUCCUGGGUCGUCGCCGGAACCCUAGCUUAUUACCUAUGGAUCCGACCUUCUCAGCAGCUCCGGAGAGAACAACAGGCAAAACAUCCGUCUUCAAUUUGUGUUUAAUUUGAUUUUUCUUCUUCUUCUUCUGAAUUUGAUUUUCUAUGCCGGAUUUUCAGGAAAAGGCGGCGUUGGCGGCGGAAUCCGACCGUUAUCGCUACGUUGAGAAGAGAAAACCGAUUCCCGAUCCUCAGGUAAUCUGAAUUUUCAUGUUCUCCGGCGAAAUUUUGAUUUUAUGAAAUUUGGGGAUUUUUUAUUUAUUUAUUUGGUCUGAAUAUUUAUUGCAGGAAACUGGAUUGGUGUAUGGGAAUAAAAACAGAGAGAAAAAAUCUGAGUAAAUUAUUUGAGUAAGUUAUGUUAGGUUGCAAAAUCAUCUGAGAAAUUUUGAUCUUUGUUUAUCGGAGUCGAGUUUGAAUAAACGAAAAAAAACAUAAGCGUUUAUACACGAUAGAUGUUGACUGUUCGAAUUGGCUGUCUUGUAUUUUUAUUAAGUUGUUUCAUACUUAGCAUGUUGAAUCAUGUACAUAGCAUAAUGUGAUCGAUUCGGAUGAUUAUGAUUUUUUUUUUAUCUUCUUUAUUUAAUAGAAUAGUAAACUCCGAGAUAAAAUUUUGAAUUAUGUUGUUGUAGUCAUUUUCGUCUCCGAAUAUGAAGGUUUCUCUAUGUGAACAUUGUCCGAUUUUUGUUGGAGAAGAAUAAAAUUGAACAAGAUUAUGUGCAAACUGCUUUAAUUUAAUACAUUAUUUGUUUCAUACGGUCCGUGUCUGAUGUUUCAUACGGUCGGUGUUUGAGCAUCAUCAAUUGCAAACUCUGCCAUUUUCUUUUUCUUCUCUCACCCUACGACUAAGCACUGCCGUUAUACUUCUACAAGUCGAUCUUUGUUUUAUAUACGAGGGGUAGUAUUAUUUUUCAUUUAGCUGCUGUAUUAGUUGAAAACUGUGAAGCCGUUAAAGCGUGGCUAAUGUAUUUCCGAGUCGUCAGUUUUACUAUUAAUAUCUGAAAGAUCUCAAAUUUUCUAGUCGUCGGUUUUACUAUUAAUAUCUGAAAGAUCUCAAAUUUUCUUGUCGUCGGUUUUACUGUAUUUAUGAGCUUUCUCUUUGUGAUAUUCUACUGAUGUAAAUUUUUUUUUUGCGUUUCUGCUUUAGGCACAUAUGUUACGGUGAGAUGGAAGUUUGUUUUAGUGUUUGUAUAGUAUCCUCAUUUGAGUUAGUUUUACGCUAUAAAUUAUUAGUUUUAAUCAUUACAAAAUUCGCCUCGUUUCUUUGAAGAUCGACAUGAUUUUGUGUGUUUUUGAUUUGUUGAAACGAAAGAAAUGACAUUGCGGGAAAGGUCAGAUGGGCCAGCCAUAGAUGAAUGGCUGACCAAUAUUGAUGAUAUUAUGUUGUAGUAGUUCUUAGUCAUAAUUUAAACAAUAAAUUGAUGCUUAUUUGUAUUUUAGUGAAAAUAUUUGUUAUUGUAGGAGUCAAAAUAUAUAAGGAGAGAUAAAAUUUCGAUUGUUUUUUCUCAUAGAGAUUCGAAAGUCGAUUAGAGAAAUUUUACAAACGUAAUUUCUUUUUUAGCUUUUCAUCAUUUUCUUGCAACUGUGUUGCCGAGGCUUUUGAGGUGUUGUCUGUCUUUUCUUGGCUUAGAAGUUUAAUGAUAUGGUUGGAAUGUGCUCAAAAUUGACUUUUCUGAUCUCGAAUUUUGCUACUGAAAAAGUGUCGUUGUUGAUCGAAAGGAAGAAUUUUCAAAGCGGAAAAAUAACUCAGUUUGUUGUCGACUCCAACUUGCUGGAAAUAGUGAGCAAAGUUUUGGUUUAUUUGGUGCAAAUUGAUGAAGAAAUUUGAUCAUGUAACUUGACUUUCUUGGCAAAAUAUACAAUGCAGAUAUGUUCUAUGCGUUCUUCCAAAUUAGAUGGCAUUUCAUGGAGAAUUUGCAAAAAGUUUUUCAAAUGUAAUAUCUUUUUUGAGAAGUGUUCAUAUAUAAUUUAAUUAACGAAAAAGGACACGUUUAUUUUUAUGUUAAAAAUAAAAGUUUCUUGCUUGUUUAUUUUGAAAAACACCCCUGUAUUAUUAUUAGUCAAGUCAUUGGGAACGAAAGAAGUGCAACCACUGAACGAUACGACUGUGAACAUUGCAUGGUGCGCUGCGGCUAUAUAAGUUCGCUGUUGCAGUUUGCUGCUAAAUUUUAAAAGUUAUAUGCUAAAUUUCAGUCGAUCUUCACCAUCGUUUUAGUUUUUCAGUACCAAUUUUAAUCACUUUUUAGAAGUUCCAUGUCCUUUUUAACCAAUUUCAAAAGUUCACUGUUUAUCACAUGAAAAAAGACAAGUGAAUGUACAUUAUGGUGUAGGACAUUGUUUAUACAUACAUGAUUAACUCAAUGACUUCAACUAAUACAGUACCAUCACCAUCCAACCGAUCGAUGAAUACGUUGUUAGUCGAUCAAUAUAUGCACUAGGUAAAUUCUACUUGUGCAAACCACACCCGAUAGGUAGAUUGCACUGGAUAAGCUGCUAUGAGUGCAGAUUCAAACGGAGGUCUUUUCGACUUUGUUGUCACCUACUCUCGACCAACUUUAAAGAUAAGAUUUUCUUGUUUAGAUUGAUUAUGCAUAAAGGUGAUCCCAAACAAACCAAAUGCACACAAAAGUGAGCUAGUAUCAAAUGAGUUUCAAAGAAUGUGGGAUGUGAUAGGCUUCAAAAUGGCAUCAAAACAAUCACAAGUUGGGAAAUUGGAGGGACCUUUUUUUUUUUUCUCUCUUUCUUCCUUUAUUCUCUCUCUCUUCUUUUUUUUUUUUUUUUUUUUUUUUGUUUUUGAGAAUGGAGGGACCCUUUUAUUGAUGAUAAUGGUGGUAAGUUGUUGGAUUAUUGCUCAAGUGAUGCCUUGAACCUUCCCAUUUUAGAUAUAGACAUGGUUUAAUUUGGGUCAAUCACCCCUCACUUCUUGUUCCUACUUUAGCAAAUUCAAUUUCCACCUUUGAAGCUAUUGAAAAUAUUGCUUAUUCAUAGUACCAAUCCACUUAUGCUCCAUCACAAUACCAAUUUUGAGUGCUUAAUUUCAAUUUUGAUUGCUUAUUUUAGAUCCCUUUUGUCUAGAAUGCUUUUGUGUCCCAUCCAAUAUAAUUUUGUUUUUGCCUUAAUAUCGUUUUGCUUGAGUGACAUUUAAAAUCCUUAGAGAGUUUUGCAGUACGAAGAGUAAGGUGGUGUUUGCAAAAGUUUUUAGAAACAACUUUCGAGCUUUUCAUAGCUCUAAUUUGUUGUUAGGUGUUAGCUAAAUCAGUUUUUGCUUUUGUUUUUCUAAAAUUAAGUUGCUUUAAGCUAUUUUUUUAAUAUUGAUUUUCCAAUAUAUUUGCAAACACUCCAACUUUUAGAAAUAAACAUUUAAUACCUACUUAAUUCACAAUCACUAACUUAUGUUUUUUAGUAAGCUUUUGCAAACACCACCUAAGUGUUGAAUAAUCAAUUUAAUCUAAAACGGUUAAAAUUUGGAAAAACAACUAUGAGUAUAACUUUUUAGGAUGAACUAUAAUUAGGUAUAUAGACAAAUAUAUUUUUCGCAACCGGUUGCAAUACUCUCUGAAUUGAAUAUUUUAUAUUUUCAUGUGCUACUUUAUUUAUUUGUGUUUAUAGUUCAAGGUUUUCUUAUUCUUCUUCCUUUUUAGGAGUUCAAUGAACAAUUGAUUUUUUUAUUUAUAAUUUUCUAUUUUAAUUAUAUUUUUCAAUGAGUAUAACUAAGUUUGUAACAAUUAUGAAUUUCAUCGUUUUGCAUAAUAAAUUUGCUAAUAGUCUAUUCUAUAUUUUUGGUUUUUGAGUUCUCUCCCUGCGACUUUGAUUUGGAACAAGUCAAUUCUAUUUUUUGUAACUUAUCCAAAUUUUCAAUCAAGUUGUCAUAGUGGUUGACUUUCAUGGCUUAUUUAACUAUAGUCUAUAUUUCAUUUUUAAGAGAAAAAAAAUAAAAAAUAAAAAAUAAAAAUAGCCUAUGGUAAUAUAAUAAUGAGAAGAGCGUUAAAACCAACUACACGUGUACGUUUGAUGUGAAAUAAAUAUAAUAUAGUAUGUGUAUAAAAUUUAAUUUAAAUUAAGGUAAUUUAUAUCAAUAUAAAAAUUAUUAUAUAUUUUGAAAGAAGAUUGUAUUUGAAGUAUUAGCUCGCAUGCAGCUACACAAUUCUAGUAUUGCUCGUUAAUUACUCAAAAUAAGUGAUACCACAAUCAUAACACAAAUAAUACUUAAAUCUUUUAGUGUUAAUGGAGCAACAAUACAUGAAAUAAAUCCAACCUUCAAAACAUCUAUUAUUUUUAGUGUCAAAUUGAUGCCUCAAGCUAUGUUUAGUGUUCAUGUGGGGCAUCACAAAAGGUAAUUAAUUACUUAAAACAUCUUCGAAUCGGACAAACUGAUCGAGGAUAAGAAUAGUUUUUUACUAAAAUUCCUGAAUUCGCUAGUUUUUCCCGACUUUUUUUUAUCAAUCAAGUUGAAUCUUCUUUAUUAUAAUGGUCGUCAAUUCAAUUAAAUUGAUUUGAAUUUUGUUGCACUUUCACUUCGUCAAACUAUCAUGACACACUUUGAUGUCCAAUGAAAUUGAUAAUAUUGGCUUUACACCUCACCUACUUGUGUGUGUACUUGAUGUGGCCUUUUUGACAACAAUUCUUUUAUAUAUAUAUAUAUAUAAAAAUAAAUAAAUAAAUAAAUAAAUUUGUUGUAAGGUUGGUGGUGGGUGCACAUGUGAGGAUCUUAUAAUUUAGUGGGGGCAUAAAUUAAAUUAAUAAAUAGUAGUUGGUUGGUGGGAAUUUCAAUUUGUGUGGGUGGGGAGCUAUUUGGGGACAAAUUGAGGAUCAUUCUGCAAUUUCACACACAUGUCUCCACCUCGUUUGAAUUUCGUGAGUUGUGACUCGUAUUUCAAACUAAAAUAAAAUAUUCACAUGACCUUUUAUUUAUUAAUUUAGUUAUAUUUUUGUAGAACCAAAUUUUAUUUACCUCACCAUUCUUAUAACUAAUUAAAUAUAUAGUGUAUAAACUUUUGUCAAUACAAUCCCCAACAAUUUAAUUAUAAAUGAAAAAAAUAAAUAAAUAACUUGGCCAUCCAGAAAAAUACUUAAAUUCUUCUCCAAAAAAGAAAUUCGUAAAAUUUUGGAACGAAAUCAACGAGAUUAAGUAAGUUGCUACAUCUGUUUAUAUAUAUAUAUAGUGGGUGCUUAUUAGCCGCGGACGAAAUUAAAUAAGCAGCCACUAAAUUCAUGAGUGGUGUCAUGCAUGUAACCAUAAUUAUGUUCAGAUUUACGGUUAACAAGCGCUCGAUGAAAAUAAUUAGGUGUAUCCGCUAACUUCAUCAUAAAAGAAAGUAGAUAAGGUUAAAGAAUUGAAUAGCAAGUUCCAAUGCUCCCGACACUAUCCACAUGGCUCCUCCCUUUGACCAUCAACUCUAAUUAAUUAACCUCAUAAAUUAUUAUUUUUCUCGUUCCCACGAGAAUUAUUAUUAUUUUUAUAUAUUCAAAGGAGAAAAAUAGUUAUAUAUUUAUUCUCCUAAUUAAAUAAUAGGGUAAAUUACAAACACCCCUAGAUAUAUGGCCAAUUUACAAAAAAAGCUCUCUUAUUUGGAUAAUUACAUCUAACUCCCUCAAUUAUGUUUUUUCUUACACCUCCAUCCUUAUCGUGUCAGAUUCAACAUAAUCAUCUAGAUUUCGUGGAAUGUGCUCUAGUUUGUACUCGUUUUGUGUAAAAAUACAGUUUCAGAUGCACUAGAAUAUGACAUAUACAAGUCAAAAAACACAUAUUAUGAUCAUCUUGCUUCAAAAUGUAGAGUUCAAAUGGGAUAAACGGGUAUAAAAGUGAUCAUAUUCCAUAUAAUCUCGAAGAUUUCACUAAAUUUGAGGAGUCGAGGAAUGGUUGUAAUUAUCCAAACAAGAGGGGGUUUUCAUUUUUACGCUAAAUAAUCUCUUGCGCACACAUACAAUACUACAAUUCAAUAUUCAUAUCGAACAAUGGAAGCACAUUGGCCAUCUUUUAGUGGGGAAUAUAAAGAUUAAUCUUACUCCGACUUGAAUAUAUAUAUACACAUGUGAGAUUAAGAGUGUAAAUGAGCUGGUUGAGCAAGUUUUGCGUGUAACCGACUCGAUAAAAGCUCAAAAUCGAUUUCGAAUAUAUUUUAGUAGUUUCAUGAGUUCACGAGGUGAACUCGAGAGUAUUCUUAGCCCUAAUUUUCCUCUGUUAUGUUGCAAUAUGUUGACCAACGACGACAACAUGAGUGAGGUUAAUCUCAUUGUAUUCUUACUUACUACACCCAGUGUAAAUAAUUUUAGGUGUAUCAUCGAAUUUACAAUUGCUUGGGUACGUCCAUGAAUUUUAUUAUUGAUUAUUUCAAUCUGAAAUUCAAUUAAGUUACAUUAGAAAGACAACGACAAAUUCUAAUACAGAAGUCUUGCAUGUGGAUUUUUCUUCUUAAAUGUGUUUAUGAUCAGUUUAAAAACAAUUAAGCAUUGACUCUAAUUAAUUAAUUAAGCUGUCAGCAUAAUAAAUCAUUUAAUAUUUAUAUCUUCGACCACAGUCAAAAUACAUUUGGUAAAAUACCACAUGUCUGUGUUGCAAAAUUAGGAGGUGUAUUCAACGAAUGUAAUAAAAAAUCACCUAAUUAAUUAGUAAUAUAGGAUGAAUCAUUUUUAGUUUAUUUUAUCUCAAAGAAAGAUAUAAAUUAGAGUAAUUUGAAGGAAUUUUUGUCUUGGUAGUAAAUGACUGUUUCGCCCCUCAUUUUACUGCACACUUUUCAACCGUCUCUUAUUUUCAUCUCUUUUUAUGUGAAUUCAGCAGCAGCAGCAGCAGCACCCUAACCUAAGCGCAUGCCUUUUUUCUCUCUCUCUCUAAAAUCUAAAACCCAUUCAUAAAUAAAUAAUAUAUAUGUACAUGCAUGAAUCUACAUAUAUUCCUAUGCGUGUAUAUAAUAUAAAAUAUAAUAUAAUAUAUAUAUAUAUAUAUUUUGUACGUAUAUAUCUAUUCAUUUGAGUUUAGAGUUUUGAGCUUCUUUUAUAUAUCCUUUAUUUAUUGAUUUAUUAUCCGUCACGCAGACGAAGACAGUGACCACUUCCAGUUCAGAGUUUCUCUCUCUUCCAACCUCUUCUAGAGAGAGAAAAAGAAAAAAAACUAAACUAAUUAUUAGGGUUUUCUUCUCUCUCUCUCUCUCUCUCUCUCUCUCUAGAUCUAUAUGUAUCUGCCUUUGAAUCUUUGUUGGGUUUGAUGUUUAAGCAAGUUGGAGUGAGAAUUAAUAUUGGAGCGAUGAAUAAAUCAAAUUAAUUAAUUUAUUUCAUGUCAAAUCAGUUAUUGUUUUUAAUUAAUUAUUCGGUCAUUCAAUCUUGUUCUUGUCAGAUCAAAUUAACACUCCUAAAUAAUAUUUACCAGAAUAGAGAAUAUAACUCAUUAUAUUCAUUCUUUAUUACUACUUUUCCAGUUUUCUGUGUUCGUUUUCAUUUCUAGAGAGAGAAAGUUCUUAAUAUAUUUAGAGAGAGAGAGAUUGAUGUUUAGAAAUGGCGGGUUACGAACAUCAGCAAGGCUCCGGCGGCGGUGGUAAUUCUUCUCGCUACGUUCAUCAGCUUCUCACACCACCGCCGGACUUCCACUUGCAGCAGAGGCCGCCGCCGCCGCCUUCUUCUCGUCUUGAAAUUCAUCACGAGCUGUCUGCUAAUUCCAAGGACGACGACGCCGCCGCUACCACCAGCUCCGGGGGUACUCCCUCCGCCAACCGCCGCCCGCGCGGGCGUCCUCCGGGAUCCAAGAACAAGCCCAAGCCCCCAAUUAUCGUCACGCGCGACAGCCCCAACGCGCUCCGAUCCCACGUCCUCGAAAUCUCGUCCGGCAGCGACGUCGUCGAGAGCGUCUCCGUCUACGCGAGGCGGCGGGGGAGGGGCGUCUGCGUCCUCAGCGGCAGCGGCACGGUGGCGAACGUGACCCUCCGCCAGCCGGCCGCCCCCGCUGGGAGUGUGGUGACGCUCCACGGCCGUUUCGAGAUCCUCUCGCUUUCCGGAACUGUGCUGCCUCCGCCUGCGCCGCCGGGUGCCGGUGGGCUGUCGAUAUUCCUUUCCGGCGGCCAGGGGCAGGUUGUCGGAGGGAGCGUGGUGGGCCCGUUAAUGGCUUCCGGGGCGGUAGUUCUUAUGGCUGCUUCCUUUGCAAAUGCAGUGUUCGAACGCUUACCUCUGGAGGAAGAAGAGGGCGGCGGCGGCGGCGCCGCAGCUACUCAGCCCCAGCCGAGUGCGUCUCAGUCUUCCGGCGUCACAGCAGGAGGCGGUCGCGGUGGUCAUGCCGCAGAAGGCGGCGGCGGCGGUGGUGGUGGUGAUGGUAGCGGCGGCGGAGAUGGUGCGUUUCUGAACUCAGACACCACCCCACCACCGGGGAAUUAUCCUUUCUCAGCUGAAUUGUUUGGGUGGGGGAGUGGUAGUUCUGCCAGGCCGCCGCCGCCAUUUUGAUCGACGGUACUACCACGGUGAAUUGUUUAUUAUGGUGUUAAUUAAUUAGCUUUUAUUUUAUGUGUUAUAUAUUAAUUAAAUUAUUCUCAGCUUUUAAUUUGUUUGUCAAGAUUAAUUAGCAGUAAUUAAUUAAUAUGUUAUUACUAUUAGUGUUUGAGGGGGAAAUUUAGAUUGUUAAUUUGAAAUUGGAAGCAAAAGGAGAGGUUUUAUAAUUAUAAUUUGGUGAAGAUCAGAUUAAAUUAUCAUCAGCAAAUGCUAUAUGCAGCCGACAGAUCGAGAUCGAUGAUUAGAGAUCGACGAAGCAAUUUUUCAAGGUCAGUAAUUUAAUUUCGACAUUUUUUCACCCUAUGUAACAUUGCUAAGUGCUAUGCAAUAUACACAUUUUGGUAGAAAUUGAUUCUGAAUUAAAAGGUUUUGCCUAAUUGGUAUAUAUAUAUAUAUUUGAUUUACAUAGUCACAUUAUAAUUAAAUUAAUUACAUUCUCGAGUUUUUUUACCAUUCUUUCGUUUAUGCUCCGUGUGUGUGCGCGCACAUCAUUUUAGGUCGUGAUUUUUUGUGAACUCUAUUAGCAUCGACGGAUAUAUAUUACUAGGUCAUUAUAACAUGCAUUGGAUAUAUAUGUUGAGUGCUAGCUUGUUUAAUUAGUAAUUAGGUGCCAUAAAAUGCAUGAAUUAGGAAUAAAAAUGCAUCAUCGAUCUGUUGAUUAAGGAACCCUAAUCUUCCUCCCUCUUGCCGGAACUUUUUUUUUCGUUUUUUUGUUUGUUCAACGCGGCUGAAAUAAUAAUCGGACGACAACGGUUAUUUUUCUCUUGACUUUUGAUUUAUUAAUAAUUAUUACCUUUGUUUUUUCUUGAUCACAUGAUGAAAAGUUUAGUUAGUUGCACUUUCAUUUUAUUUAAUUAUAUAUACUUUUCGUGGGAUGUGAUUAAGCUAAUGAUAACAAGAUCGAUAAGCAUAAUCUUCCUCGCUCGCUGACAUCAUCGGGUCGAAACUCGACACACACACACACACACACAUAUGCUGGUGUUUGAAUAGAAGUUGUGUUGCUUAUGAUGUUUUGCAAUUGACUGUAAAAGCUAAUAUAUAUUUGAAUUAGGGCCAUGCAAAGUAGCAAGUUGUUGAAAACAAUUUAUCAAUGGGCAUCACUUGAUCAGUACUACUUCAAUUUAAUUUAAUCCUUGAUAUGAUAUAUAACUAUUUUGUGACAUUUUUGUCUGGUUUAUUAUUGAUUUCUUGUCUUUUUAUGUCAAUUAAUUUACUUUAAUGCCAGUAAAAAAGAAAACAAGAAAUUUACUGUCUGAUUGAUUCUUGAUUUCUUGUCUUUUUAUGUGAAUUAAUUCACAUUAAUGCCACAAGAAAUCUAGUGUCUGAUUGAUUCUUGAUUUCUUGUCUAUGGUUUAUAUUUUAUGAAGAGAACAGUACUACUAAUUACAUGUUUUUUUAUGUAUUUGGUUUAUCAAUAUUUUCACCCUAUUUUUUUGAAUCAUGGAUAAUACAUAUAUAUGUUUUUAGAAAAAUUGUAUAUAUAUAUAUAUAUAUACUCACCUUUUUCCGCAUUAGAUUUUGUGCUGAUGAGCUACAAUUUUGUUUUAAACACAUGCAUGCAUGUGGUAUAAUGCAAUGUUUUCAAAAUCGGAACACCGAACUUGGUAGCCAGUUGUCGAGUUGUCGUUGGACAGGUUCGAAAAAUAUAGCUUGAAGGUGGAAGGAAAAAAGAAGUGUUUGAUGGAGUAAUAUUUAGAAGACGUUGCAAGGGCAAAUAUGGAAAACAUAAUUACUGCAACAUUCGUAUUUCAAAGUGACACGUAGUAUAUAUGGAUCGAAUAAAAUUAUGUAAAAAGUGACAGACAAUUAAUUCGAAACGGAAAGAGUGUAUGCAAACCAUGGCAAAGUCAUCAUCGAACCGGUAGCGGUUGAUAUUUGCCGGUUCGGUUUUCAUAAGCAUGUGGAGAAAUGUGUAAUGGUAACGAGGUGAAUGCGUAGAGAUGGUGUUAACUUUGUGGUGAGGGGGUGGGGGGUGGGGGUGGGGUGAUGGGUGGGUGUAAUUUGUAAAGAGUGGCACACAAUUCAAUGCAUGAUUUUGCCUGCCAUUAGAGAGUGCUUUGGUGGUAUGUAUAUUUAAUGAUGAUGAUAGCCAAAUGUCAAUCCAUAUAUUAUUAUUAUUAUUAUCCUAUUUAUUUAUUAGUUAAUUAAUUAAUUAGCAGCCAAGUUUUCAUCAUAAAUGGUGCAUGGGUGGUCCUCCUGUAUGUUUCACAAAAGUGAUAAUAAUCUAAUAUCGCAAAUACCAUUAAAUUUAAAACCGCAAGAGUUGGCGUGUAAAAAGAUUUAUAGUUAAGGGGUGUGGUUGUAAUUAUCCAAACAAGAGGGUUUUUUUUUUUAAUUUGACCAUACCUCAGGGGUGUUUGUAACCCUACAAUAAAAGAUGCGUUAAGUAACGCAACAUUGUCCUCGAAAGUCCGCUGGGAUAUUUUGAAUUUUCUAAAACUCCAAUGAAUCGUUUUUUUUUUUGUUUGCACCCCUUAUCUCAAGUUUUAGAUCGAACAAAUCCUUGGGGCAGCUAUAUUGGACAACUUAGAUACGAAAUAGAUAACUUAAUUUGAAAGUUUAGAUUGAUAAUAGACUGAAAAUGUACAGCAUAAUUAGAGAAUUUGAACAAAAAAUAGACAUUUUUUUAUGAAAGUAACCUUUUUCCAACGAUAUUGUUGCAGAAAUUAGGCAGUCGAGGGUAGAGGACUGUAGGGGGAGGCGGAAAAGUGGAAGAAAUACCAUUUUUUUAGAGGAUGUAGUUUUAAUAAUGGAUGAAUUGAAGGAUAGUAAGGUUUUUCAGUUUAAAAUAACUAAUUUUUACCUAAGUUCUUUAACUAAACUGCCCGAGAAACUUUAAGAAAAAUGCAAAAAUAUAAUUGUCCUAAACUCUAAAGCAUCUUAUAAGCUUAGCCAAACACCCUCUUAGAGAUACUUAGCAAAUUGCGUCUAUUUAUAAAUACUAAUUGAAAUGGAAACUAAACAAAUUUAAACAAGAGUAUGAAGAAGGAAAAACAAAUUAGGGGAAGGCAAAUAUACAUAUUCCUAUAACAUUAUCAAAAGAACUUUGAAUUUUUUGUUCAGCGAAUUCAAUCAUUUCGACAAAAGCUGAAGUAGGCUCCUCAUAAUCGAGCCAGUGAUGCUAAUCAUUAACUAUAAUAUUACGAAUUUUGUUUUCGUACCAUAAAAUGUAACAACCGAUUUUCCGGUGGAAAAAAUUCCCAAAUCCAAUCCCAACAAACACUAUCAAGCAAAACCAGACGGCAGCCGUUUUCAGUGAGCUUUUCAUAACCGAAGAAAAUAUGAAUAAAAUGCAAAGUUCAGACAAGGGAUGGAACGAAAAAACAAGUCUCAAUGAAUUAAAUGAAGGGUGGGUUCCGACUUACACCGUAAGAGCUAAUGGGGCAAUUGCAACAGGGGAAAAGGAAAAAAACAAGGCCUCCAAAAUAUAGUUGUCACUAAAAAGAUCAAAAUUUGAGCUUUAGAAAAAAAAAAAAAGGACGAAUCUAAAACCUAACCUGCAAAUGCAAAUCAUACACAUGUAAUUGUAAAAGCUAGACAUUCACAAAGCUAUCAGAUACUUCUGCACGAAUUGGUCGGUCUUGUUUGAAUGAAUUUUAGGUAUUAGAGAGCUCAAAUGGAACACGAACAAAAAGACGCCCGUGCAGGCUAACCACUGCAGAUGUCUUAAGUGGAUCAAUCCUUAAAGGUAGGCUCACCACCUGACAAACCAACCAACACAACGUUAUAUUCCUAAUAAAUGUACAGAAUUUUUCAGAAGUUUGUUUCGAUAAUGAGAAACCAUGAAGUUGUGUAGUUUAGAACUUAGUACACGAAGAAGAAUUCGUCAGCUUCUCAUUUGCAAAAAGGGAAAGAAUACCUUUUUGAAUGGUGUAACACCCCAGGGAUUUUCAACUUGCUCGGGUUGACCUGUUAUGACCAAACGUCCAGCGGGAUCUGACUGAACACGCACCUAAACGACCAAUAAGAAGCAUGAUUAUAAUAUUGUCAAUUUUACAACUAGUUCGAUUAAAUGCAGUAAAAUCAUACACUUAAUAAGUACUGAUACAACACCACCUCUGAUCCCGUAUUAUCGAAGACAGAGAAAAGUAGUUAAUGAAAUGGAUAAGUUAUAUCAUAACCACUCAUAACUGAUGCAUUUGUUGUGAACUUCUAUUUCCUAUUUUAAUGAAGUUGGUUUAUAUUCAGUUUAUUAGUAUAAUUAUGCAUAUGAUCUUGUAUUAGAAGAUUCAGAUUCGUAAUAUUAAAAUAUCAGUUUAGGAGCCGUGUCCUCUCCAUACGGAAAAACUUCAAUGGCUUAUUAAUGUGUUUAAGAUUCUUGCUUAUUUUGCCAUUUCUCUAUUUAUCAAUUAUUCUUGUAUUCUACGUAUGCACUAAAGUGAGAAAGCACACACCUCUUCACGUAGAAGCCCCGGUACAAGAGCAUAAACCUCGAAACAAUCUUCCUGCACCCGUAAAAACCAGUCAAAGUUAAUUAUUUUGUGUCAGUUGCACGGGUGCAUUGUGACAGAAUGGGAGAUUUGAUAAACCUACCGUUUGGCGAACGUUGAUCUUCACCCAAUCAGCUGGAGGCCCAACAUCAACUACUGAUGUCACCAGUCUACCAAACAAAAAUAGCAGCAAGGAAAAAUCAGUUACCCUGAUUUUAGUGUAAUCCAAAAAGAAGGUGGAGGGGGGAUUGUGGAAAAGACACAUCUAAAGCAAUUAUACCCAAAAAGGAAAACAAAAUAGUUAUGCAUUUUUCAAUACCACUGUUACUCAGAUUCUUAGCGUUCACACUCGUUAUUUGACAAAGAAGUCAAUCCUAUGACAUGACAGAUACUACUUGGAAAACAACAAAAGGAAGAGCAAGUAUACAGUUUCAGGUUUUCUAAGAUUACAAAGUAACCUAGCUAGGAGAACUAGACUGUAAAAACGCAAUAAGUAAACACAAUAAUGCAGAAGUUUUACAUACAAAUUUCUAGCCCACUGGGAAGAAUUUUGAUCUCCUUAUUCAUAUUGGCACUAAGCAUCUUAUUGGACCACUUGCCAAGCAGAAUUUUAUCUAAAGAUAACCCCUACACGUAGAACCAAAGAGUUCCAAAUAGUCCUAAACAAAAGUUUGUUACCUGAAGUGCUCAAGUUAUCAGUUUACUACAUAAGGAAAAGUUAAGAACUCGAGCAACCAAACAAGCCACAGCCUGCAAACAAAUUGGUAGCAGGCGUCUAAGUUGCCCAUAGUUAUUGGCGUCUUGCACAUGGAUAGGUAAAUAAACUGUUUUAUCAUGGAUAAAAUCCAGUAUGAUAGAAAAACCAGAUAACAGUCACUCGGACAAGUACGCUCUACUCUGGUUGGAUCUUAGGCACAGAUCAAGGACUGCUAUCCAAUCUUGGUCAACAAUUGAACUUUAGUGGCAACUUUAAGAUUGUGUAUGUGUAUAUAUUUAAGGUCUAAAAAGUAAUCUACUGAUGUAUUCUAUCACAAAAAAAGAACAUCAGUUACAGCUGUGAUGAUAUACCUAUAAAAGCGUCACGAGGUCGGGGAAAUGGUGAACUUACAUUAGGCAACAGAUAUAAGCCAAGUUCAAUCAGAAAACAUAAGGAAAUAUAACUAAUCAAACAAAAACAAGCUUAACUGUUUCGAUGAUUCAGCUCGGGCGUAUUUAACCGAGUUCUCCACCUCAUUUGGCCUCUUCUGCUUGAGUGAGCCUGAAUUCACACAUCCAAUUAAGAACAAACCAACAAAAGGAAACAAAGUGAUAUUAAGAUGAAGCAGAGUUAACCCAUAUCUAUUGGUCCAAAAGAUUAAUCGAAAGUGGAGCAUAUACAUUAAAAGAUAUAACAGAAACUAGCUUACCAAUGCUUUUAACAUUUUUCUCCCGCUUCGCCAUACUGUUAAGAUUCUUGUCCUAUUGAAAACAUAAUCAAAGAACGUUUCAGAAUACCAAUAGAGGUCCAUGUGCUUUAAGAAUUAAGCAGUUACUGUUUACAAACCUUUAUAACAGGGUCUCCAGCCUCGCCACCAAAAAGGCGUUGGACAUGCCAACCUUGCAUAGCACGAGCAGCAGCAUCUCUUCUAGCCCUUCCAGAUCCUGCUCCUUGAUAGCCAUUUUCCUACGCAGUUAUACAAGACAAAAUCGAAUCUAUGAUGAAGCCUGAGGCUUAUGCAAUUUAUCAUAUUUUACGGGGUAUAUUAACAUCCAAAACACAAACACGUGAUCUACAAAUCUAAAUAAGAUGCAGGCCACACACAAGGGACAAGGAUAGAUAUAAAGUAGAAACCACGUGAUAUACAAGGAGGCGGAAUAAGAGACAUGUGGAGGAGGAGAGAGAGGGCAGGAGGCGGGUUAAACAUUUAAGCCACCACAUUAGUGAAACCCAAGCCAAAUCCUCCAAAUAGAUAUCUUCUAUUAGAUGCAAAAGAAUGAGAACCACCAAAGCUAAAUGCAACAUCGGAACAUCUACAAAAACCCUUGAAAUUCUAGCUGUUCAACUGCUAAAUUCAGUAAUAUCAUAAAAUGUUUUAAUCUUCUCAGCUCUAGUGGGUAAAUUAGAGGGUUGGACUCUUUACUAAAAAUAAACGAGAUUAAAGUAAGAAAAAUGAGAGGAAUGAAAUUAAAGAAGAAAGGUUAAAUAAUAUCGUAAGAAAAGGUUUACACUUCCAUUCUCCUCAAACAUCAUAAUUCUUUCAGCAGAAAUCUAUGCCAAUGGCCACGAUAAAAUCCAAUACUCAUACUGAUGGAUGUACUGCAUGGAGAAGAGUAAAAAGAAGGGGGAAAAUAUAUUCAACGGAAGUGCAAACUCACUUCACAGUCAGCACCAGAAGCUUCAGGGAGCAUUGGUACCGGGAGUUGAAGGUCACCACUUUGUAUCUUAUGAGCUUCAUAAUCUCUAAGAGACUGUCGCAAAUAAAUGAAAAAAUGUCAAUAAACAGUGAAAAAGAUAAGAUUUAGUUAUAAGUGAUAUAUAUAUAUAUAUAUAUAUAUAUACACACACACAUAAGGAUCACAAAAUAUAAAAGAGAGAUCAUAAUAAGAAACAUAUUUUUCCUGUUCCGGACUCAUCUCCUUUUACAAUUAAUGUCAUAUGUAUUCCCAAUCACUUGAAAUAUAAAGAAAAUGUACUACAUCAUGUUAUACUUGAUGUUGAUUACAGUGUUUCAGUUGAUACCAAAAAAUCGUAGAGUUAAUAAAAUCUUCUAUUGAAAAAAGCUGAAUUAUUUCCCCGCAGAAGAACUCAUGAAGCUCCCCCACAAUGAAUCGAAUACGACGACUAGUGAGACCAACAAAAUAGGGAAGUUAGACCGGAAUGAUUACCUUCUCAUAGAAAAUGCGGAAUGUCCAAGAAACUGUUGUACAAGUCCUGCCCAUGAAAAAACAAACCCACUUGAUCAACUUUAAAAUCCAUUCAUUAAAUUUUUGAAGAAAUUGGAUCAAAUUGCUGAUAAAUCAUAGUCUGUAUAACUACAGCUAUCAAACAAAUGGAAAAUGCAAUAAAACAAUUCAAACUAUCUCUUGUAAUGGAAGCCAAGUACAAAUCUAAUCUAAAACUGUAUAUGCACAAAAUAUUUCUUUCUGAAUUUCAUUACUACAUGAUCUUUUAUUUACUUAAUCAAAAAUGAAAUUAUUCCAACUUAGCACGUUCUACAAUCAUUUGAUAAAAUUACUGUCUAUUAAGAAAACCAUGCUGAAAUACUAAUACGACAGAUAACUUUAACCAUUGAAAGUUUAUCAGUAAUCCACAUCAAACUGUUGAAAAAUAAUGUUAAAAAAAAAGGCACACUCUCGUAAACAAACAUAGAUGGUAAAAAAAAUCCACAUAGGGCCUUACUUUGGUGGAUGAAACGACUCUCCCACCUGCCGCCACAACUUGGAUCCAGUUACCUAUUAAAGGGUGAAAAAAUCAUAAAUACUGAAACAGCAGCAAAGAAACUUACUAUCUAACUCGAUGCUCUAAUUAACUAAUUAAAGAAGUUCAAUUAAGUGCAGAAUACCACAACUAAAAUAAAAGAGUAAUGUACAGUAAAAUAAAAGAGCAUUGGAGAAAUUUCGACAUACAUACCCUGUCAUAGCCUCCUAAUCUGAUGACAGCUCUCCAUAACCUAGAUACCGACAAGGCAAUGAAAAAACAAAUUUACCCGAGAACAAGAUAAUAAUAAAAGUAAAUGAAUAAAAUACUUACUUCAGGCAAUUUAGUGGCUGGCCAUAAAAUUUUGGUGGUUUGAAGUCUAUGGCCCUCUCUCGAUGAAAAGUUUCUAGUUCCUUCAUGAAUGCUGCUUGAUCUUCUAGUGUUCCAUCAUCACCCUCUGCCAUCUAACAAAGAAGACAAACGAUUAACAACUGAAACCUGUGAUGGAUCCAUUUCAUGACUGAUUUCAAUAAUAAAAAUUCCGGUAUAAAUUCUAUUACCUGAGGUAAUGCUGUAAAAACAGUCUUGCUAGUUUCUCCGCUACGAUCUCUAAUCUUUGCAGGAUUAUGUAUCAAAAGAGAAGAGGGUGUAGCAGCUUCAGGCUGGUUUAAAAGUGAGGAAUCAUGACCUCCUUGUUUGGUUGCAGUUUCAACAUUCUUGGCAUUUUCAUCACUUACAGGGCUAGCAAGAAUUAUUUCUUUACCAUGUUCUUUAGCUUCAUUAUUAACUGUUUUAUCCUCACUUUCCUUAGAUGCAACUUCCAUUUCGACAUCCCCACCCAUUGGAACCUCAGUUAUAGCAGCAUUCUGGCUUUGAAGAGCUGCGUCUAAAGAUAACUCAGUUUGUGAAUUUCUAUUUUCCCUAUGAUCACUUACACUUUCAGCGUUUCCAUUUGUCAGUUCUUUCCUUGGAACAUGUUCAACACAACCUCCAUCUUCCAUUCCAAUAGUUUCAGGCAUCUCCGCUGCACCAUCUCCAAUGGGAUUUUCCUCUAUCAUAUUCUUAACAGGAUUUCCACCUUCCACGCCAUUCUCAGCGGACUUGUCUUCUUUCACCACACCAUUAGUAGUGUUCUGUUCAACCACUUCAUUCUCGGAAACAGUAUGUUUGUCCACUAAACUUAUAGCAUCAGUUUGCUCUUCAAGUUCAGGUUUGGUGCUGCUUCUCUCGUCAUUGUUACUGUUGGUAUUGGUUUGUUCUCCCAUAAUUUCCUCAAGAUUUAUUCGGUCAUUCGCCUCGCUUGCAUGAUUAGAUUGGUCUUCUAUCUCACUCUUUACAGUUGCAUUGCUAUUUGCUUCAUUACUCACACCAUUCUCACUUGUAUUUGCAUCCCCUACAACUCUAACUUCAGAGGGAGGGUUUUCUCCUUCGAUUUCAGUCUUAGAAUCAAGUACUUUACUCAAAGACUCUUCGACAUUAUUUCCCGAAUCAUGAUCAUGCUUUCCAGCCUCCUCCAUUUCUACAUCAUUUUGACUCAUUCUGUUAUCUAUUUAAGACAAUAUAUUGCAUCUAUCAGAGAUUCAGUAUAGACAGUUUCAAUGUGUUAUUAAUCAAAUAAAAAAAAAAUUUUGAAAAAUCCAUGAGCAAGAUAUAAAAUAAAAACCUAAGCGCUAAAUGGUUAUAGAUUAAACACAAAUUUCCAUUGAAUUUUAUGCUACACCGCAAUCACACGAAAUCCAAACCCUAUUCCGUCCCAAAAAAGUCCUGAUUUUUUCUUGCAUGAGAAAAAAACCCCACAGCCAAUUAAGUGGGCCUACAUUUAGAGAAAAUAAAAUCCGGCUCCAUUGAAAUUCAGGAAUUACAUGCAGUGCCAAAGUUGAAAUACGUAGGAAAAACCUGCGCGUAAUUGGGCGAAACACUUGCCUGAAACAACUCACGGCGGCGGCGGCGGCGGGCCAGCGGUUGGAGAGGUUUGCAAUGGCGGUGCAAUUGAAUCUAGGUUUUGGCUUCUCCUGUUUUUCAGUUAGAGCGAAACGUGGAGCCAGGCAAAUGUGAGAGUGUGUACAAAUCCUCACUCCGAAAAUGGGGUAAAAAUAAAAAAAAAAUUAAUAAAAUGAAGAAAGGUGUAUUUAUAAGGUACGGAAUUGGCACGUGUGUUUCACUGAGAUACGGCGAAAGGCUAGGGCGGUGUUAGAGAGAGAAAGUGCCUUCAAACGCCGGAGAGAGAAGAGAGAGAAAGCACGGCGAGAAAGCCCUGUUUCUGCGGUUGCCUAUUUCAAAAGAACGAUGAAACAACACCUGGAUACUGAACGUACCAAAUAGUAAAUGUCUAUUCUACCCCUCUAAAUUUUUGACCUUGUGUGUAUAAGUAUAAUAAUUGAUUCACUUGUGGGUAGUAUUUCGUAACGGGUGAGGGUAAAUAUUUAAUUUUAAUGUGUGUUUAUUAUUUCUCUCUCUUUGAGAAUUGUUGCCAUUAUCUUUAAAGAUUUUUUUCCAAAAGAUUUGAUUUUGGAUUUCUUUUUGAUAUUUAUUAUUUCUGAUUUAUCACAAUUUUGUUAAAUGUAUAUAAAAAUGAAAACUUUUAUUCAAUAUUUAGAUUUAUAAAUUGUCCUUUUAUAUUUUGUUAUAUUUUUAUAUGGAGCAAUCCAUAAGAUUUUCUAUUAUCUUGACCCUAAUGUAUGGUUAGUGAUAUAAUUUCGAUUUUCCAUUGAGUCAAAUUGUGCAAAUGUGUCAUUUAAUGCUCAAAUGAGCAUUUAAUGCAUAUUUGUCAAAAAUGUCAUUUUCGUAGUUUGACCUUACCUCAGGGGUGGGUGAUCGUAAUUUACCCAAAAAGGAGCAUUGAAAAACUAAUUUAUUACCUCGUUAUGAAUUAUUUUAGGCUAGUUUAGUUUGUAAAAUAAGUCACGGUUAACUAAAUUGAACGUUGUUUGAUGCUUGUUUAGAGUUGUAAAUGAACUGGGUCGAACCAAACAGACGGUGGUUCAAAUGGUUUGAGCGUUAUCGAGUCAAAUUUCUUAAUUGUUAUAACAAAAAUACGUUUUCAAACUUGGUUCGCUAUGUUGACAAAUCGAGCUCAAAUGAUUUUUUAACGAACAAUCUCGAAUAAAAUUUCGAUAUAUGACCUUAUGUUUAGUUAGUUUAAUAACUUUUCUGAUCAAUUUAUUAGAAAAAUUGGGCUUUCUAUAGCCCAAAACACCAUAAUAAAAUCAUGCGCAAUUGCCACAUUCGGCCCAACUCAAUUCGGCCAAUAACAAAGGCGCAUUUUAUGCAUGAUGAUGAUAAAUGGCCCCUAAGGUAUGGCCAAUUUAUUAAAAACCCCAUCUUGUUUUGAUAAUUACAUCUAAUCCCCUCAAUUAUAUUUUUUUCUUACACCUUCACCCUUAUGGUGUCAAAUUCAACAUAAUCAUCUAGAUUUCGUGGAAUGUGCUCUAGUUUGUACUCUUUUUGUGUAAAAAUACAGUUUCAGAUGCACCACAAUAUAUAUACAAGCCGGAAAACAUAUAUUAUGAUCAUCUUGCUUCAAAAUAUGAAGUUCGAAUGGGAUAAAUCAGGUACAAAAGUGAUUAUAUUCCAUAUAGUCUCGAAAAUUCCACUAAAUUUUAAACUGCAUGCAAGAGUGGACGUGUAAAAAUAUUUAUAGUUGAGGGGGUGGUUGUAAUUUCCUAAACAGAAGGGGGGUUUUUGUAAAUUGACCAUAACUCAGCGGUGGUUGUAAUUUACUCAUGUUUAAUUAAUUUAUUUUUAUAUUCUAAAAGGAAAUUAUGAUUUAAGAUUUAUGGAAUGAUUAUUACUAAUUACCAAUAAUGGGUCAUUGGGAUGCUAAAUCCGGUAAAAUACACUGGGUGAUUUUUAAUAUGGAGAAAUAUGCAAUACCCCCCUCAAAUGGAAAAUAUUAUGAGUAAAACCCAUUUGACUUUUAAGACUUUUGCACAAACCCAAAAUCCAAUCUUAAUUAGUGAAACCCCCUCAACAAAUGUGAUAAGCCGAAACUACCCUUAUAGGUAGGUUUUUUUUUAAAUAAUUGCAAUAUUUAUUUUCCAUAACCUCUCACGUAAUUAUAGGAUUACAUUAAUUCUCUCUUUAAAUCUCCAUAUUUCUCUCUUUCGUUAUCUCUCCUCUCUCGUUCUCUCACAAAAUAUUCGUUCUCUCAUCUUAUUCUCUCACAAUUUUUUUUUCACGCUCCUUCCUCUCUCUCUCUCUCUCUCUCUCUCUCUCUCUCUCUCUCUCUCUCUCUCUCUCUCUCUCUCUCUCUCUCUCUCUCUCUCUCUCUCUCUAUAUAUAUAUAUAUAUAUAUAUAUAUAUAUAUAUAUAUAUAUAUAUAAACACAAUUCAUCUCUGUAAUUUAAAAUUCUUUUGUAAUUGUAUGUGUUCUCUUGAAUCUUUGAAGAUUGUUGGAAGAAUUGUUAGUCUUUGAUUCAGUUACAACAGCGGCAUGUAAUUUGAGAACCUUUGAUAAAAUUCUUCAAAUGCGCUAACUGUAAGUUGUUCGUCGUUUUAAUUUCUUGUUUGAUGCCUUUGGUUUUAAUAUAUAUUCUCAUGAUUUAAGAUUCAUACUUUGUUUAUGUUUCUCAGGUGAAGUACUCAAGAGAGCCCGACAAUAUUGCCAAAUGUAAUUCAUUGUUCUUCUUAAUUGCAUUUUAUUUGUUCUAUAUGCAAGCCACUGGCCAGAGCCGCCAUUUAGGGUUACGCGUUUCCUCCUCCCAACCCCAUAAAUACCCCAAACACUCUUGCCUCCGCCACCUUACAACUAACCCAUACCAGAUUGAUGCAAAUAAAACAACGCCGACGAGAUUUGAGGAACCCGUAGCGCAAUUAGGAGUGUAGUCACAUUGUAGUCACAUUGUAGUCACAUUGUAGUCACGUUGGAGUCACAUUGGACUCACUGUUAUUGAAUAAAUACAUACUUAAUAUGACUACAGUCAUGGUUAAUUCAUAUUUUUUUUCUCGAAUUAAUUGUCGAAAAACAGACUAAAGUUUUUUUAAUUUGGUAAACAUGACUGUAAUACACUAUAUAAUCAGGUAUUUAAAGUUGAAAAUGCAAAAACCGACAAAAUAAAGAAAGAAUAUGACUACAAUUGAUAUAGUCACAUACAGUCAUAUUAGAUUAUAGUCAUAUUCAACUAUAGUCAUAUUCAACGUAAUAAACUUGUCUGGGGAAAAAUUCAAUUUUUUAUUUAACAUUUUUGUAAGAAAAUAUUAAAAAAAAUAAAAAAUAAAUAAAAAAUAAAAAAAUAAAAAUAAAAAUUGUACUCUGCAAAGCUUUUAAUUAGUGGGUUUUGAUUUGUACGUGAUCAAGCAUAUUUUUAUUCUUUUUAAUUUGUUGGCUGAUUUUAAGGAGAUAUGAUAUUGUGCUGAUUUUUUUUUAUUUUCUUCUUUAAUUAAUUGGCAGAAUUUAAGGAAUUCGAAUAUUAAGUGUUGGAAAAAAAUCACUAUUAUUUAGGCAUUAUUUACGGAAACAAGAACCGUGCAAUUAUUGUGUAGGAGAUUGUAUAAUUUUAGAAGGGUAGUAUUGGAAUUAAUAUUUAUAGGGGGUUAUCACAAAGAAAGAUUUGAGGGUUGGAUAUAUCACCUUUUGUUAUUCAUCCAAGGGGUUUAUUGCUAAAGACCCCUUUUAAUAUUGAUGUGGUGAAAUAGUUUCCCACUAAGCACACAUACAUAUAGAGGCGUGUGAUUAUGUGCAUAUCAACGGUUAAUGAACACCCAAUGUAUUUGAUGACGUAAAAAAUAAAUCACCUAAUGUGUUGAAGCUGGGAGAGCAAAGUAGGUCACGUGCUCACGAGCUAGAUAGUCCUGAGAACUUUAAUUUACUCUAGGAUCCUGCGAACAGAAAACACGUAAUCUAAGCCGGGGGUCGAUCCGGCGGAAACCCCUCCGACGCUCAAGUCAGACGUGAAGAUAGUUGGUAAUUGUGGAGAGAAUUCGAAUAGAAGAAUUGAGGGAAUAAUAGUAACGUACCUUCAUUCAAUGAAUUUAAGUUCUAUUUAUACUUUAUUGAUUGGGUCGAGACAAUUUAUCGGGCCCAACCUUAUUUGGGUUCGAUUGGGCCUCUGUAGAAAUAGCUAUUAAGUUGGGCCUGUGGUCCAGUAAAUGUGGGCUAUUGGGCUGGGCCAAUAGGUAUAUCAUUAAGCCCCCCACUCUCGAAUCGAUGUGGGAGCGAAUUGGAGAGAGGUGCCGGAUCGUGUCGAGAGUAGAAUUGGAUUUCAAUUACUUGCUUGUGUCGUUGAGGUGAGGAUAAUAAUAAAAUUUUAUUAUUAUUUUGUUGUCCCAUCGGUGAGCGGAUUCAUAUUUAAAGGGCUUUAAAUAUAAAUUUGUGCGUAGGAGUAGGUAAUUCCUUGUGAAAGCAGGAGAGAGGAGUAUCAAGAACCACGUCGAAUAAAUAUGGGUGAGUAAUACUAUUUUUUAUUUUAUAUAUCUCCGAAACCUAUUUUGCUCCAUAUAUACUCCGUUGUAGAAAAUAAUAUAUUCUCUGGGGUGAGAAGAUCCUCAGAUAGAAGAAUUUAUAUGUCCCAAACGGUGAAGGCGAAACAGUUGAAAAUUAUCUUGAGAAAUUCGUUUGAGGAAACCGGGAGGCCCUUUGGAACGGUAGGGAAGGUAUUUGGGUCGAGUUCUGGGAAAAAAAUUGCACCGGAGAAAGAAAUGAUUCGUCCCGAUUGCAGGCGAUUAGGUUUAUCGGGAGAAAUUGUGGCUGAACCAGUGGAGGAACCCGCGCGGCUGGAAGAUAUGAGGGGAGCCGCGCGAUUGGGCUCCGCGAGAAGUGGAGCCGCGCUAUCUGAGUUGGGAGGUGAAGACGGGCAGGGAGCCCGAAUUGUAGUGGAGAGAGAAGAGAGAGAGAAGGAGGGGGAAGGAGGGGUAGGUGGGGCUGGAGGGGUGGUGCACGUGGGGGGGGGUGAUAGGCAGGAGAGAGAAGGAAGGGGUAGGGGGGUAGGUAGGCAGGAGAGAGAGAGAGAGGAGGGAAGGGGUAGGGGGGUAGGUAGGCAGGAGAGAGAAAGAGAGGAGGGAAGGGGUAGGGGGGUAGGUAGGCAGGAGAGAGAGAGAGAGAGGAGGGAAGGGGUAGGGGGGUAGGGCGGGGUGCAUCGAAAAAUAUAAAAGAAAAUAAAAACGGCGCGCGGGAGGAGGGGUUUCAGACGCGCCCGCGCGUGGGGGCGCGUUGGGGGGCGCGUGCGGGCGCGUGGGGGGGCCGUUUUCGGCCGUUUUCGAGGAGCAUCCUCGCGUUUCUUCUCCCGAUGAUUUUUUGGCAUCAAAUGUUGGUAUUCCUAAUAUUGGUGAUGAUGUUGGUACUAGUAGGAGACGUAUUCGGUCUCAAUUUGUGGACUUUGGGAGUGAUAGUGAAGAAUCGCUUAAGUCGAAUUCUUCUAAGGAGUCGGACGGAUCUGAGGGAUCCGAGAGUGAUGUAAAUCCGGAUGGAGACGCGGGAGAUGGUGAUGAUAUUCCACGAGAAGAUGUCAUUAUAGAUAAAAAUAAAGGGAAGAAAAUAAAACCACUUAAUUUGAAUUUGGUGGAUUAUGAUACUUCGUUAACCGAAUCUCAAUUCGGUAUUCUCCGUCAGCUAGUUGGGGCUCCGAGGAAUAUUGAGAUGCUCUUACCUAAAAAAGGUGAACGAUUGUAUGCACCCCCCGUAGGGUUCCACACCCAAUACGUCGCAUAUUUGACAUGUUCCUCGCAGAUUGUGCCUCACUCCACUCUUUUGAAUGUAUGUGAGGAAUUUCGGAUAGGAUAUAGUCAAUUAACUCCGAACGUGAUUCUCACGUUCGAAGCUUUUCGACAAAGAAUGAUCGAAGUAGGAUUACCGAUUAGUGUUGAGAUGUUCAAGGCCUUGUUUACCCUACAUCGUUCAAGUGAUUUACCCUUCUUCUGCACACAUCCUCGGGUUCCUUUCAGAUUUUUGAAGAGUAUUAGCUUGAAGUGGGAUAAAUGGAGUACUUUAUUUUUUUAUGUAAGGGCUCCGACGUCUGAUGUUCCGCUUGUUUGGAAUUCGGUAUGCGAAUCUUUUAAGAUAAUGAAGAAUAUGAAGAAACGUAUUAAUGAGUCGGGGUUGUGUGCUUUGGAGUUCGAUCCGAGUUGUCUUAUUCCAAAGGGUCGGGCGCCUACACCGUUGCGUGUAGUCUACAUGUUUUAUGCAUUUGUGCCUUAUUUUGUGUUGUCUCUGCUAUUCUAUUUUAUNNNNNNNNNNNNNNNNNNNNNNNNNNNNNNNNNNNNNNNNNNNNNNNNNNNNNNNNNNNNNNNNNNNNNNNNNNNNNNNNNNNNNNNNNNNNNNNNNNNNNNNNNNNUCCUUUGAGCAAGCGAAAUCAAGUAGUAGCAAAUCGCGCGAAGUGACCCGCGUGGAGGCUCCGCAUGUGAGCGGAGAUGAUCGUAAUCAUAAUGUCGAGGGGGGUGAGCUGGAUCGAGUGGUUAAUAAUGGGAAGGAUGAGUUGGUUGAGAUCGAGUAUGUGCCUGCACCGAAACGGCCUCGAGUGGAUCCUGAGGUUUCUCAUGUGCCUCCAGGGGGUGCAGGCAAAUGCCUGUUCACGUACGGGGUGAACCGAGAGGGGAAGGAUUCUUUGUGGGAUACGACCGAUCAUACUAUCGCGUUGAAGAAGACCGAGGAUUUCGUUGGGGAGGACGACCGAAGUCGGAUGUCGGGUAAAGGUCGUGCUCAUAUGCUUUCAUUGGCUGGAGGAGACAUGUGUCGGGUAAAAUUUUUUUUUUUUUUUUUUUUUUUUAAAUUAUAAGUUUCGAUAAUCUAAUAUUAUCUGUUUGAAUUUUGAUAUAGCUUAUAGCUAUAUGGAGGUAUCUUCUGGAGCAGGAGGAGCAAGUCGAGAAGACCAAUGAGGAGGAGCGUUCUGGUUGGGAGGCAAGGGAGAAAGAGCUAAAGGCUCAAUUGGAGGCAGCAGAAUCCAAACUAGAAGUGGCCGAGACUCUGCUCAUUCAGAGGACCGAUGAAUUGGAGAUUAGUAGGAGCGAGACCGAGGCGAGUAAAAUUGAACUAAUGAAACUAGAUCGGUGUUAUGACGAGCUGAAGGAGAAAUAUGAUGUCGAGAAGUUUACGGGGAAGAGGUUUUUGGCUUCCUCAGCUGGAGCUGCUUACAAGGAAUCAAUUAUGUUAGAAGGGGAAAGUCGCUUUCAGAAGAGUGAUAUCUGUCGAGCUAUGAUCGAAGAUCGAGCAAUAGCUGGGGUUUAUGCUCCUUUGGUUAGGACGUGUCGUCAGUAUUUACGCAAGGUUGGUGGAAUCGACGAGAAGAUUAUUCGAGGUAUGGAGGAGGACAUUCCUGAUGAUGGAGAGGAUAUUGAUGUUGAGUGUACUGAAAUUGCUUCGGAUGCGGAAGCGGAUGACCGAACUACCGAAGCUACUUCUGCUCGUAAAGUGUAGUUUGGUGUGAUGUUAUGUUUAUUUUCCUUAGAAAAGACUUGGUUUUUUUUUUUUUUUUUUAUUAAGUGGGUAUGUCCACUAGUAUUUUUGCAUGCUUCAUGACUUGGUAUUUGUUUGCACCUUGAGACGUUGAUUUUGCUAUCAAAGUUAUUGUUUCUUUUUAUUCAUUGAUUUCGCACUAAUGUUUUGCAUAUAGCAUUGUUCGAGAUAUUCUUGAUGAGGGGAUCAGUCUCUCAAGAUUUUUUUAUAUUUUUUUGGGAUCAUGCCCUUUAUUUUGGACCUCGUAGGUCGGAAUAUUAUUUAGUCCAUGGCCACGUUUUAAGCAUGAGGACCCUGAAAAUCAAAAUAGAGAGACUCAGAUAAUCCAGCUGGCCAGGCUAUAUGAACUAUCUUAAUUUCUCUAAGUGGUUUUAGGGUUGAAGUGAGAUGAACCCGUCGUAACGGUUAAGUAGUAUAUGAACAAUAACUUUGAGAGUAAAGUAAAAACUUGAUUUAAUCAUUAAUAAGAAAUGCGAAUUGUCAUAAGCUUCCGUGAGGCGAAGGGAAAUAACUUGUAAAAAACAAAUAAAUCGAACUAUUGAAAAGUAAUCUAUGGGACUAUAAGAGAUUCUAUUUUUCUUCCACGUCUUCCUUGUGCUCAUCCGUGCUUGGUGUAGGGUAGUAUGUCUACUGUCUUUUGGUGUCUCUUUGCCUGAAAAGUAUCGGAGUAAAAAAAAAAUUCAAGUACUUGUAUUGAAGACUUAAUAGUUUCAUAAGUUGGAGUGAUUGUGUAUUUGGGAUCACGUACUCAAUAUUGGGACUUUUUCUGUUCCUCGCAUUCCGAGAUAUGAGAGCAACUCAUGAGUUGCGGUGGAUUGCUGCGCGACCCUGCCUGUCAAAGGAGAUGGCGUUAUUGUUUAGUAUAGAGACCCACUAAUGUGCUUGUGAUAUGACUUAGUAAAAGUGGUGUUACCCUUAGUGAGAUAGUACAGAGUAUCUUCUCUCUUUGGGUGAAUGGUGGUCGGUAAGCGUCCUCUCGUAAUUGGCUCUCAAUCUGUAAGAAGAUGAUGAGACGUGUUACGGAAGGUUGAUGUAGAUAAUAUCACUAGCCCCCCAGUUUGGGAGGGAUGUUUACACACCUCGUUAUGGAGUCCCUUCUCGAGCUUUUAGAGACAUUUUUGCAUGAAGAGAGACGUGGAAGGUUGUGAAGCCUGCAAGGCGACUUUCCUAUGAGGAAGAUGUAGAUGUAAACUUAAACAAAUUUGAUUUAAGAUGAAUGUAUACCUCAAGCGUAGAACCUUUUGAGAUUCCCUAUAUUCCAGGUUCUGGGUAUAGGGUGUCCGUCAAGGUUCUCGAGACGAUAUGCUCCAUUGUUAAUCACUUGUGUGAUUUUAUAUGGUCCUUCCCACUUCGGGUCGAGUUUCCCGAUUGGGCGUGAGGCUUCGGCUUUGCGGAGAACUAAAUCUCCUACUUGGAAAGAGCGAGGGCGGACUUUGGAGUUAUAAACUUUCGCCAUGCGACUCUUGUACAUUUGCUGUCUGAUGGAUGCAAUCUCUCUUAGCUCGUCGACGAGAUCGAGGUUAGCCCUCAUUGCUUCUUCAUUCUCCUCUGGUGAAUAAUUGAUGACUCUCCAAGAGGGUUCUCCAAUCUCUACGGGUGCUACAGCCUCUGUUCCAAAAGCUAAGUUAAAUGGAGAUUCUCCUGUUGCUGUUCGUGGGGUUGUUCGAUAUGCCCACAGAGCAUUGGGUAAUUCUUCAACCCACUUUCCCUUGGCACUUCCAAGCCUUGUCUUGAGAUGUUGAAGUAUCGUGCGAUUGGUUACUUCAGUUUGACCAUUUGCUUGGGGGUUUGCCACCGAAGUGAAGAAUUGCUUAAUAGAUAAGCCAAGGCACCAACUCUUGACUUUGUCUCCACAAAAUUGUGUUCCAUUGUCCGAAAUAAUGGAACGGGGAAUGCCGAAGCGGCACACAAUGUUUUUCCAAAGGAAUUGAAUGACGUCUUCUUCUCGAAUGCGAGCUAAAGGUUCUGCUUCUACCCACUUGGUGAAGUAAUCUACAGCUACAAUGAGGAACUUGCGUCCUCCUGUUGCUGGUGGAAAAGGACCGACCAAGUCAACUCCCCAUUGAGCGAAAGGUAUGGGACUGUCAAUCGGUUGCAUCAAUGCUGCGGGGAGAUGAAGGAUGUUAGCGUGUUCUUGGCAAGGCUUGCAUCUCUGCACUAGUUUUUUCGCAUCUUCAUGCAUGGUGGGCCAAUAGUAACCUUGUCUCAAUAUUUUGAGAGCUAAGUUUCUUCCACUUAAAUGAUUACCACAAAUGCCUUCAUGUACUUCCCGAAGCACAUAGUCUGCUGCUGAUGGGUUAAGGCAUUUAAGAUAGGGGGAGGAGAACCCUCGCUUGUAGAGAUCUUCACCUAUCAUUAGGAAACGGGCCGCCCUUACCUUUAUUUUCUUCGCUUGGGCGAUGUCAGUCGGAAGUUCCCCGCUUUUGAGAUAGUUUGUAAUGGGGGUGAUCCAACAGGGUUCGCUCUCUUCAGCGCAAUUCACUCCGUCGGUGAAGACUAUUUCUGGUUGGGAAGCCGUGAGGAGGGUGAUUUUCCGGCUUCCAAUGCUUGCCAUGGAACUACCAAGUCUAGCCAACUUGUCUGCAUCAAUAUUGUUGGCUCGUGGUACUUGCUUUAUCUCGUAGCUAUCCAAUUUUGAGAGGAGGGUAAGUGCAAGAGCAAGGUACUUUGCCAUGGAUUCUUCUUUGGCUUCAUAGUUCCCAAGGACUUGGUUACCACCAACUGGGAGUCGCUGUGUACUAUGAUUUUGCGAGCUCCAGCUGCUAAAGCGAGGCGGAUACCAGCGAUCAAAGCUUCAUAUUCGGCUUCGUUAUUGGAGGCUUUGAAAUCAAACCGUUUAGCAUACUCGAAUUCAUCGCCAUCUGGGCUUGUUAGUACAAUACCCGCGCCUCCUCCUGUAGCGGUGGAUGAUCCAUCAACAUUGAUGGCCCAAGUGGGUAUGGAUGUGCUCUCUUCCGAUGUAGUCAUCUCUACUAUAAAGUCUGCUAGGAUUUGAGCUUUGAUGGCUGGGCGUGGUUUGAACUCGACCCCAUAUUCACUUAGCUCUAUAGCCCAUUUAGCUAAUCGUCCGGAAGUCUCGGGACUUCUCAAUAUUUGUUUAAGGGGAUAGUUGGUGAGAACUAUCACCUGGUGCGACUGGAAGUACGGACGUAACUUUCUAGCUGCAUUGAUGAGCGCGAGAGCAAGUUUCUCCAUAUUGGUGUAACGGUGCUCUGGACCUUGGAGAGCUCGGCUUAUGUAAUAUAUCGGUUGGUGACCUUUUUCACCAUCCCGAAUGAGCACUGCGCUAAUGGCAUCAGCAGAAAUGGCCAAGUAUAGGAAAAGAGUAUCUCCCGGCUGGGGCUUCGUUAGUAGAGGUGGGGAAGUGAGAUAUGCUUUCAAUUCUGUGAAAGCUCUUUGACAGUCUUCAUUCCACUCAAACUUUUUCCCACCUCUUAGUAUCUUGAAGAAAGGAAGACCCUUAUCAGCCGAUCGGGAUAUAAAUCGGUUUAGGGCUGCCAAACAACCAUUAAGUUGUUGGACCUUCUUAAUCGAUGUGGGAGGGGCCAUGGAUGUGAUAGCUUCAAUCUUUGCUGGGUUGGCUUCAAUUCCCCGUUGUGAUAUCAUAUACCCUAAGAAUUUUCCGCCUCGAACUCCAAAAGAACAUUUUAGGGGAUUGAGCUUCAUCUUGUAUUUACGUAAGAUGGAGAAGCAUUGACUUAAAUCGGUUAGGUGAUCCGCGACUUUAAUACUCUUGACAAGCAUGUCAUCAAUGUACACUUCCAUGUUCUUACCAAUCAAGUCCGCGAACAUCGUGUUCACCAGGCGUUGGUAAGUAGCUCCUGCAUUCUUGAGACCGAACGGCAUAACUCGAUAGCAAUAGAUGCCUUGGUCAGUAAUGAAACUAGCUCUCUCUUGAUCUUCUGGGGCGAGCAAUAUUUGGUUGUAUCCUUGAUAUGCAUCAAGGAAGCUAAGAAGUUCGCACCCUGAGGUUGAGUCUAUGAGCUGGUCGAUCCUUGGUAAUGGAAAUGGAUCCUUCGGGCAUGCCUUGUUGAGGUCGGUGAAGUCUACACAUAGCCUCCACUUGCCUCCGGGUUUAGGUACUAAUACCACAUUGGAUAACCACUCGGGAUACUGAACCGAUCUAAUGUGGCCUGCAUCUAAGAGUUUUGCCACUUCCUCUUUGAUAUGUUUGUUGCGCUCAGGACCGAAAGUCCUUUUACGUUGCUUGACCGGUUUCAAUCUUUUGUCAACGUUUAGUCGAUGCAAAGCUACUUUUGGAGGAAUUCCCGUUAGAUCUUGAGCUUUCCAAGCAAAUACGUCUCCAUUGUGCCUAAGGAAGUUAACUAGCUGAUUCUCCACUUCUUGAUCUAGAUCAGAGCCGAUGCGGAGAAGCUUAGAAUUAUCUCCGGGUAUGAGUUCUACUGAUUUUAGUUCUUCAAUUGCGGCUAGCUUAGCGGUGUCGUCGGGUACGCUGAUUAGGAUUUCUUUAUCAGCUUCGAUGACCGCGUUGACCCAUUUUCGCUUAUCUUGUCUCGGGGUGUCGUCUCCUUUCCCUAAAGGAUUAGGUCUCUUAGAUGGUUCACGUAGAACUCUUGCAUAACAUUCUCGAGCGAGACGCCUAUCUCCAAGUACCUCUCCCAUCCCGUAAGGAGUGGGGAAUUUCCACUUUUGGUGGUAAGAUGAAGGCACAGACUUGAAUGUAUGGAUCGCGGGCCUUCCCACGAUGAUGUUAUAAGGGGAUGGCUUGUCGACGAUAAGGAAUUUUAUCAUUUUCGUUACUCGACAAGGAUCUUCCCCUAAGGAGAUGGGUAACUCUACUUCCCCCAUGGAUAAAACACUUUCUCCCGUGAAUCCUUUCAGUGGUGUAGUGAUGGGAUUGAACCGUGCGUUGUCUAUGCCUAGCUGUUUGAAUGUGUGGAGAUACAUAAUGUCGGCUGAGCUCCCACCGUCCACUAAUAUCUUUUUAACUAUGAAGUUGGCCACCGUUGCAGUUAUCACCAACGCAUCGACAUGAUCUUCAUCUGGUCCUUCAAGGUCUGAGGAGUUGAAGACUAUGCCAUGAUCAGGUCUUCGUAUUUGAUAGACGGAUGCGGAUGGAGAAGCAUGUUCUUGAUUCAUGCGUGCUGAUCGAGCGAGGGUGCGUCUCGCAUUUUGUGAGUCGCCACCUGCCGGUCCUCCGGAGAUAAAAGAGAUGAUUCCUCGGGUGGGUUGGUUAUCAUUGUUAUCUGGGUCGCGCCGAUGACCCCCAUCUUCUCGUCGUUGUUGUUGAUCUCGAUUGUUAUCUCGGCGUGAAAGAUCAUCACGACGCUUAUUUCGAGGCUUAUCAAUAUAUUCGCUUAAGUGGCCUUGCUUGAUCAACCUCUCAANNNNNNNNNNNNNNNNNNNNNNNNNNNNNNNNNNNNNNNNNNNNNNNNNNNNNNNNNNNNNNNNNNNNNNNNNNNNNNNNNNNNNNNNNNNNNNNNNNNNCUGUGGAAUCGACAAUAGCGAUUCCGAUUUUCUUCGUUUCGCAUUGGGUUGCAUUGGGCGUGGAGGCUCUGCCGACCUUUUUGUUCAUCACAUGAAGUAUUUCGGUGAGGCGAGUAUUGAGUGGAGUGAAUCGAUUAUAAGUUGAAGAUGAUUGGCCUUGAGGUGGGGGUGGAGGACGUCGAUCAUCUCGUCUCCUAAUAUCCGGGCGGUCAUCUUCUCUCUUCCUCUUGGGAGGAGCAUUGGCAGAAGCUUACUCUAUGCGUAUGUAUUUUUCAGCUCGAUUUAACAACUCAUCUAAGUUGCCAGGAGGUCUUCCUGCGAUAGAUUCUUUGAACCUACCCGACUUCAGGUUUUGCUGCAUAAUCCCUGAGAGCAUAUCUUGUCCUACACUGGGAACUUCAUGAACAGCCUCCACGAAACGCCUGAUGUAGUUGCGGAGUGUUUCAUUGUCUCUCUGUACGAUAGAGAAGAGAUGUGCUGGAGUUUUAGCAUAUUGCUUAUUGAUGGCAAAUUGGUUGGUGAAGCGCAAUGAUAACUGAGCGAAAGUGUCAAUUGAUCCUGUGGGCAGAGCGUUGAACCAAUUCAUGGCUCUCUUGGAUAGAGUGGUGCGGAACAUCUUGCACAUUGCUGCAUCUGUUGGGCCAUAUAAAUCUGCCAUAGCGUGGAACUUCUCUAUGUGUUCCUGCGGGUCGGUAGUUCCUUCGAACUGAGGUAAGCCUGAUACUUUCACUCCUUGAGGUAAUACCUCGUUGAGGAUGUUCAGGGUGAAAGGACUGCGCCUUGUUGGGAUUGGUGCUCUUCCGUCAAUUGGGUUGUGCAAUCUGGGGAACUGGUUUUGGCGAGACACUCUACUAUUUAUCUCGUCUUCCCCUUCAUUAAAGAUAUGAGCUCUUCGUAGAGACGCAUCACCCCGUUGGAGUGAAUGGUGGCGUUGUUGUCUGGGUUGCGGCUCCCUGUGAUUGGUAGAUAGCUGCAUCCGGGAUCUUGGAUCUGAGGUGGAUGAAGAUACACUUAUCCGAUCGUCAUUGUUCUGGGCUGGUUGCUGUACCCUGGGUGGCAUUGCGGGUGGAGCAUUAGCUGGGAUCACGGGGGGAGCGUUAGCUGGGAUCGCGGGGGGAGCGUUUGCUGCCAUCGUGGCGAUGUAUUGUGCCACCGCAUCAGUGGCGGCGCGAGUAGAAACUUCUGUUAUCAUCCGUUGGAGUGCCUCCUCGGUUAUUUGAACCGUUCGAGAAGCAGGUAGAGGUGGAACCUGUAGUGGAGGAUCGGCGAGUGGUGGAUCCCGAGGGGGAAUCACCUGAACCUCGCGUGGUGGAUCCAGAGCACGUGGAGGAGGUGGUAAGCCAGAGCCUCCUCGAACCGGAAGGUUGUUAGCUGUGUCACUCUCUCUCCGAGUGGACUCAGGAGGAUCUUGCUGGCUACGUGAUCUGGUCUGCAUUCCCACAGACGGCGCCAAAAUGAUGACGUAAAAAAUAAAUCACCUAAUGUGUUGAAGCUGGGAGAGCAAAGUAGGUCACGUGCUCACGAGCUAGAUAGUCCUGAGAACUUUAAUUUACUCUAGGAUCCUGCGAACAGAAAACACGUAAUCUAAGCCGGGGGUCGAUCCGGCGGAAACCCCUCCGACGCUCAAGUCAGACGUGAAGAUAGUUGGUAAUUGUGGAGAGAAUUCGAAUAGAAGAAUUGAGGGAAUAAUAAUAACGUACCUUCAUUCAAUGAAUUUAAGUUCUAUUUAUACUUUAUUGAUUGGGUCGAGACAAUUUAUCGGGCCCAACCUUAUUUGGGUUCGAUUGGGCCUCUGUAGAAAUAGCUAUUAAGUUGGGCAUGUGGUCCAGUAAAUGUGGGCUAUUGGGCUGGGCCAAUAGGUAUAUCAGUAUUUAAUCGGAUGUACGAGUCCUUCAUUUUAUUUAUUAUUAUUUUUUUUAAUCAUAUAGAAUUCAUGUUUUAGAAAAGAAAAACAAAAUUAAUGUUUCAUAUUUUGUGAUUCAAAAAACCAAAAAGAAAACAGCCGCCGCCUUUGCUUAGUCAGAAGUCAAAACCAAUCUCUCUCUCUCUCACGUAAUUUGCAAGCCAAUUUAAAAUUUUCAUCCUUUCUAAAAUGUGCAUUACGACGUCGUAGAAUAUUAUAUGAUAUAUAUACUUGUUAAUAAAAUAAACAAAAGAAAAUGAAAAGCAAAUAUUGAGUGAAAUAACAACUAGGUUACGCCUCUCACCGGGCCCACUUUCGACUUUCCCUUGGAGUUAUUACAUUCUUAUUUGACUCAUUCAAAUGUUUGAUUACGAGCCAAGUUUCGUUGUUUAGUCAAGCUCAAAAUGGAAUCAAUUCUCUCGAGUUCGAUUCGAGCUUUUGUCGAGUCGACUCGGCUCAUUUACACCCCUAAUUACGACUAGGCGAGUUUUAAGAAUUUGUGAGAGAGGAACCUCUAGCUAUAUUAUAUAAUGUAGACUAAUUCAUUUGAAGAGUCUAAAUACGACUCUACAUUACUUUUU